RNAcentral lists this long non-coding RNA (54601 nucleotides) under Triticum aestivum (bread wheat). RNAcentral describes it as "long non-coding RNA (TAES_LNC028009)". The record is from RNAcentral. Lineage: Eukaryota; Viridiplantae; Streptophyta; Magnoliopsida; Poales; Poaceae.
GUGUCUUGUGCAAUUAGAUUACAUUUCUGUUUGUUAUGGUAAUAUAAAAAAUAUUCAUGCUGUCAAAAUUUUCACAGUGCGUGCCUUUCAUUUCUUUAGUUUGAUUGUUUCCCUUGUAUUCAAUAUGCUUCUAGUGGCUGAUCCUUCCAUUUUUGUUAUGGCAUCUUUAUUUUCACAGGUGUUGUGUGUUCUGGAAGAUGGAAGAGGAAGAAAACCUAUUUUUGUUGAACUAAAUUUUCUGUAUUCUGUUUUGUUGUACGUAUCAUUUGAUAGUUUUGUAUAGGAACAAGUGAUACUAUUUUGUAGGGCUUUAUGGCCUGUGAUGUAAACAUAUUUAGUGCUGAAAUAUGAAAUUAUUUGCAAAAUUUGUCAAAAAGGUGGAUCAUAUGUAUGAAUAUGUGAAUGGGCUGAAAAGAGUACUGGACCAACUCCAGGAUUGAAUUAAUAUUUGAAUGUAUAAAAAGGCUGAAUGUAAACCAGAAAUGGGCUGCACAAAAUUGUACAUAUAUUCUUGAAAGGCCAAACGUGCAUAAAAAUUGAUGGGCUGACCAGUUGGGCUUGGCCCAUGUAGCAGAAAAAAAUUAACAGAAAUAAAUAUACCAAAUGGGCUGAAUUGUUGGGCUAGGCCCAUGUAGAAAACUGAAUUGGACCGGGCUGAAUCUUGUGCCACAUCAGCUUGCCACGCUGGAUGCCUACGUGGACUGGGGAGGUUGCUAGUGACCAAAACAGAACAAUAGGCUUAUUUUGGUCAUAAACGUUUGCGACCAUUCCAGAAGAAAGGUCGCUAUAGUCAGUUUACGACGGCCAGCUUUUGACCUUAUCUUUUUGGUCACAAAAAGGUCACAAAUGGAAAUUUGUGACCAUUCAGUGACCAAUAGUGGUGGUCACAAGUUGACAUAUUUCUUGUAGUGCGUCCUCUCCAUAGCCGUUUAGGACUUGCCUAUAAUCUAGGAGUCCUAGACACGGUUGGGUUACCCACGACCGCAUUAAUGAGAAUCCCGUAAUUGGGGGAACACGAUCUCUGCUUUGACAAGACGUGUCAAGAAACCGCCUUGCGUUAUGUGUGGAGCUGGUUGAAGAAAAACGGUUCGAAUAAUCACCGGGCCAUGACAUAACGUCAUGCUGCCAAAAUAAGUCGGAAAAUUGGAUUUGCGAAAAUAUUAUUCUCUCUAUGGCGGUAUGUGGGACUUAUUUUGCAGGGUCGGACACUAUCCUCGUAUUCAAAUUCUUCUGUGAUGUAUUCGGAGAAGGAACCCGCCUUGCAAUGCCGAAGACAAUACUGCGCGCCGGACUCAUCGUCAUUGAAGCCUGGUUCAGGGGCUACUGAGGGAGUCCUGGAUUAAGGGGUCUCUAGAUAGCCGGACUAUCUCCAUUGGCCGGACUGUUAGACUAUGAAGAUACAAGACUGAAGACUUGUCUCGUGUCCGGAUGGGACUCUACUUGGCGUGGAAGGCAAGCUAGGCAAUACGGAUAUGGAUAUCUCCUCCUUUGUAACCGACCUUGUGUAACCCUAACCCUCUCCGGUGUCUAUAUAAACCGAAGGGUUUUAUUCCGUAGGACAACAAUCACAACAUACAAUCAUACCAUAGGCUAGCUUCUAGGGUUUAGCCUCUCUGAUCUCGUGGUAGAUCUACUCUUGUACUACCGAUAUCAUCAAUAUUAAUCAAGCAGGACAUAGGGUUUUACCUCCAUCAAGAGGGCCCGAACCUAGGUGAAACAUCAUGUCCCCUGCCUCCUGUUGCCAUCCGGCCUAGACGCACAGUUCGGGACCCCCUACCCGAGAUCCGCCGGUUUUGACACCGACAACUACCCCAUCUCACAUGAUGAUCAGACAUGGGUUAGUUGAUUUGGAUCAUGUAUCACUUAGAUAACUUGAUGGAUGUUUAUUUAAGUGGGAGUUCUUUAGUAAUUUGAUGAAUUGAAUUUAAUUUAUCAUGAACUUAGUCUUAAUAGUUUUUGCUUAUCUAUGUUGUAGAUCAAUAGCUCGUGAUAUAGCUCCCCUAUAUUUUUGAUAUGUUCCUAGAGAAAACUAAGUUGAAAGAUGAUGGUAGCCAUAAUGCGGACUGGGUCCGUGAUCUGAGGAUUAUCCUCAUUGCUGCACAGAAGAAUUAUGUUCUUGAUGCACUGCUAGGUGACAGACUUGUUGCAGGAGCAGAUGUAGAUGUUAUGAACGUUUGGUGAUAACCCACAAGUAUAGGGGAUCAAUUGUAGCCUCUUUCGAUAAAUAAGAGUGUCGAACCCAACGAGGAGCUAAAGGUAGAACAAAUAUUCCCUCAAGUUCUAUCGACCACCGAUACAACUCUACGCACGCUUAACGUUCGCUUUACCUAGAACAAGUAUGAAACUAGAAGUACUUUGUAGGUGUAACGAGAUAGGAUUGCAAGAAUAUAAAGAGCACGUAAAUAAAAACUAGGGGAUUUGUUAGGUAAAGAAGCAAUAAAGUUAGUAUAGCGAGUGUGGAAAAGUGGUGGUAGGAGUUGCAAAAUUGUCCCUAAGGAAUUGACAAUGUUACUAGACCGACAGCAAGUUUUAUGUGGGAGAGACCACUGCUAGCAUGCCAUACCUGACUUGGAAUUCUAUGCACUUAUGAUUGGAACUAUUAGCAAGCAUCCGCAACUACUAACAUUCAUUAAGGUAAAACCCAAUCAUAGCAUUAAGAUAUAUUGGUCCCCCUUCAAUCACGUAUGCAUCAAUUUCUAUGCUAGGUUGAAGCUUCUGUCACUCUUGCCCUCCAAUACAUAGUCCUAUCAACAUACAACUAACCCUAUGGUGUGAUCCACGCGCGCGCUCAUAUGAUGGGCACCAAAGGACAACAACAUAACCACAAGCAAAUUAAACCAAUCAUAGCAAUUCACCAAUCACCGAUAGGACAAUGAAAAUCUACUCAGACAUCACAGGAUGGCAACACAUCAUUGGAUAAUAAUAUGAAGCAUAAAGCACCAUGUUCAAGUAGAGGGUACAGCGGGUUGUGGGAGAGUGGAGUGAUGGGGUUAUGUACCUAGGGUAGGGUCAUGGACCUGAUCCAAGUAACUUACCCCAGGACAUCCUUAGAAGAGGUCGCCUUCCAGUCGACCAACGAGGAUUCACUCGACUGGCCUGAAGGACUCGACCACGAAGACUCACUCGACCACCAGGAGGUCAAGAGGCACUCUACACUGCAACGGCCUGUAAUCAAGUAGACUUUAUGAUAGUAAAGGCCUUUAUGUUGGGCGUUACCAGUAACGCCCCAGACUUAACUCACCUUAAACCCUCUCCUACGUGGGCUGGCUGGGGUCCUGGCGCACUCUAUAUAAGCCACCCCCCUCCACAGGCAGAAGGGUUCGGCACCUUGUAGUUCAUACAUUCAUAAUCCACUCAACCGCCUCCGGGCUCCGAGACGUAGGGCUGUUACUUCUUCCGAGAAGGGCCUGAACUCGUACAUCCUUUGUGCUUACAACCUCUCCAUAGCUAGGACCUUGCCUCUCCAUACCUACCCCCCACUCUACUGUCAGGCUUAGAACCACGACAGUUGGCGCCCACCGUGGGGCUCGUGUUUUAGCGAUUUUGUGGAGAAGUUGCGAUUCUUCCGAGUACUUUCAUCAUGGUGUCUGCUGGAGUUUUGGUCGAGGGUCAAGAGAUCCGUCUCGGCACUCUCACCUUCAUCGCCGACGACUCCGCAUGGCUCCAGGAGGCUCCACUCGACGUAGAUGCGCUCCCCGUCCGCGGUGCGACGCAUUUUCGCGCAUGUGUCCGUGGCGUUCUGCUGCGGCAACCAUCGACCCAGUAUCGGUCGGCUCCUCCAUCGUCCAUCCUCCCGGUCUCCCGCCAGCGCAAGCGCUCAGGCCGGUCGAGGCUUCAGCGAUGGGUGAGUCACGCGGUGGCUCGCCAAUCGGCCACUACCCAAGUUGCGGCAAUCGAGCCCAACGAAUCUCUCUACGGCUUGUUCGAUCAUUCGACUGGCUCCGUAGAGACUGCAUCCGAGUGCGGAAGCAGUGAUCCAGCGGCGGAAAUCUUGAUGGUCGACGGGCCCCACAGCCCUCCUGGCUUCGCCCGUGGUGGUGGAGCAGGUGACGGCGGCGACCCUGCAUGAGGCUACGAAGAGUACCAGCCCGAGCCACUCGACUCUCUGCAAAGGGAGGAACUUCGCCGCAGGAACGAGGAUCCCCUGCGUAUUCCCAUCGCAGGAGAAACCCCCGAGGCUCGUGCCUUGGAGGAGGCGCGUCUGGCCAAUUUGGCCGAGCGCACUCGACUGGAGAACCUUCAGCGAGCACUCGACGAGCGCGCGCGGCAACGAGUUCCCGACACCAGUCGACGUCAACUCUUCCCGCCGACUCAGGUAUAUCGAACCCCAAUUCAGAAUUUAGCAGUUGCGGCCCGUAUAGCAGAGUCCGUCCAGCCUUCGCAGUCGGAAGCUGGCAGAGGUUUGCUGCAGAUCAGGGAUCUACUCCGGGCAGCAGGAGAUCAGAAUUCAGCCGUGUCUCAGUCGCGCAACAGAAUUCACAGUCGAUCCGUCACUGUGAAUACGGUUCAAUCGACUCACAGCCCCAGAUCGCCUCCGUGGCACGAAGGGCGCGAGAAUCGACGAGAUCAAUAUGGCGACAGAUUCGACCGAGAUGAUAGGCGUCGAGCGCCCUAUUCCCCUCCGAGGGGUGGGUCUUACGCUCCUCGGCAGCCAGAUGAUAGGCGUCAGUACAGUACAGGGCGUAGGGUUCCAGUUGACCCCAGAGAGCCAGGCUUCGACGCGCGAUCCAUUAUCGUGCAAGGGUUGGUCGACCGGAACAGAGCCCAUCGAGGCGCACUCGACAGAGAUGUACCCACAAGCAUUCGAGUGCAUGUUUCUGGUCCUGAAUGUUUCAGCAGAGCUAUCAGAGCCGCAGUUAUGCCCCCCAAUUUCAGGUUGGCAACAGGAGUCAGCAAGUUCACUGGUGAGUCUAAGCCUGAAACUUGGCUUGAAGACUACCGAGUGGCAGUUCAGAUUGGUGGUGGGAACGACGAGGUGGCCAUGAAACACUUGCCUCUCAUGCUGGAAGGUUCUGCCAGGGCAUGGUUGACUCAAUUACCUCCUAGCAGCAUUUACACUUGGGAAGAUCUGUCCCGAGUGUUCAUCAAAACGUUUGAAGGGACUUGCAAGCGACCAGCUGGAUUGACAGAGUUGCAAGUCUGCGUGCAGAAAACUAAUGAGACUCUCAGAGAGUAUAUUCAGAGGUGGAUCACUUUGCACCACACUGUGGAAAAUGUCUCUGAUCAUCAGGCAGUAUGCGCCUUCAAAGACGGCGUCAAGAACAGAGAACUGAGUUUGAAAUUUGGUCGAACCGGUGACAUGACCUUGAGUCGGAUGAUGGAGAUUGCUACCAAGUACGCCAACGGUGAAGAAGAAGACCGAGUCCGAAGCGGCAAGCACAAGCCGAGUCAGUCGGAAAAAGGAAACACCAGUCGGAAACAGAAGCGGAAGGCUGAACCGGCAGCUCCUGGAGAGGCUCUGGCCAUGACUCAAGGAAAGUUUAAGGGGAAACCAAAAGGAUCCUGGAACCCCAAGAAGGUAAAGGAUAAAGAAGGGAACGACGUGAUGGACAUGCCAUGUCACAUUCACACGAAGAAAGACGAAGAGGGGAAUAUCAUUUACCCAAAGCACACCACUCGCCAAUGUCGACUCCUGAUCCAGCAGUUUCAGGGAAAACAGUCUAAGGACAAGGAGAAGGAGUCGGACAAGGCCGAAGAUAAAGAGGACAGUGAGGGAGGAUAUCCGCAUAUCAACUCCACUCUGAUGAUCUUUGCAGAUGUGGAAAGCAGAAGUCGACUGAAAGUGAUUAACCGAGAGGUGAACAUGGUUGCCCCGGCAAAGGCAAAUUAUCUGAAGUGGUCUCAAACACCCAUCACAUUCGACCAAUCUGAUCACCCGACUCAUAUUGCCACCCCUCGGAGGCAAGCUUUGGUGGUCGAUCCAGUUGUCGAAGGCACUCGACUGACAAAAGUGCUGAUGGAUGGUGGAAGUGGGCUGAAUCUGUUAUAUGCAGACACAUUGAAAGGUGUGGGCAUUCCGAUGUCCCGACUGAGCACUAGUAACAUGAGCUUUCAUGGAGUUAUACCAGGGAAGAAGGCCGAGUCACUCGGCCAGAUAGCUUUGGACGUAUUGUUUGGUGAUUCGAAGCAUUUUCGCAAAGAAAAGUUGACGUUUGAGGUCAUGGAUUUUCAAAGUGCAUAUCAUGCCAUUUUGGGGAGACCAGCCUAUGCACGGUUCAUGGCUCGACCAUGUUACGUGUACCUCAAAUUGAAGAUGCCCGGCCCCAAAGGAGUGAUCACUGUCACCGGUGAUAGGAAAAAGGCAGAGGAGUGCUUUCAGAAGGGCUCCAAGAUUGCCGAUUCCCAAGUGACAGCGGUCGAGUUCGAAGAAUACAAGCAAAACGCAGAUCCGAGUGACUUGCUGCGAUCCAAGAAGCCCGCCACAGAGUCUGCAUUCCAGUCGUCCGGUGAGACGAAGCCUGUUCACAUUCACCCGACCGACCCCGAAGCAGCUCCGACCCGCAUCUCCACAACACUCGACCCAAAAUAGGAAGAAGCGCUCAUCCAGUUCCUCCGUGAGAACUGGGACAUUUUUGCAUGGAAGCCCGCUGACAUGCCAGGUGUUCCCAGGGGACUGGCUGAGCAUCGCCUAAGAGUCUACUCGUCUGCAAAACCAGUCAAAGAGCAUCUUCGGCGGUCCGCCGUCCAGAAGAGAAAGGCCAUCGGUGAAGAAGUGGCUCGACUGUUGGCGGCAAGAUUUAUCCGAGAGAUAUACCACUCCGAGUGGCUCGCUAAUGUCGUCAUGGUUCCUAAGAAGGACAAGUCGCUCCGAAUGUGCAUUGAUUUCAAGCACAUCAACCGGGCCUGCCCGAAAGAUCACUUUCCUCUCCCUCGCAUAGAUCAAAUUGUUGACUCGACCGCGGGAUGCGAGAGGUUGUCUUUUUUAGAUGCUUACUCCGGGUACCACCAGAUCCGUCUGUACGGGCCCGAUGAGGUAAAAACAGCUUUCAUCACUCCAUUCGGGUGCUUCUUCUAUAUCACCAUGCCAUUCGGCCUCAAGAAUGCCGGAGCCACAUUUAUGCGAAUGAUUCAGAAGUGUCUACUCACUCAAAUCAGUCGGAAUGUGGAAGCUUAUAUGGAUGAUAUUGUUGUCAAGUCACGAAAAGGUUCCGACCUGCUCGCUGACCUCGCUGAAACAUUUGCCAACCUCAGAAGGUAUGAUAUCAAGCUCAAUCCAUCAAAGUGCACAUUUGGAGUUCCUGGUGGCAAGUUACUCGGUUUUCUCAUUUCCGAACGGGGAAUCGACGCUAACCCAGAGAAGAUUGGCACUAUUCUCCGAAUGAAACGCCCUGUGCGAGUGCACGAUGUCCAGAAGCUUACUGGAUGCUUGGCCGCAUUAAGUCGAUUCAUCUCACGACUCGGUGAAAAGGCACUGCCUCUUUACCGACUGAUGAAGAAGGCUGACAAGUUCGAGUGGACUCCAGAAGCUGAUGCAGCGUUUGCCGAGCUAAAAGCUCUGCUCUCCACCCAGCCGGUGCUUGCUGCUCCAAUCAGCAAAGAGCCUCUGUUGCUCUACAUCGCAGCCACAGGACAAGUCGUCAGUACUGUGCUAACGGUCGAGCGGGAAGAAGAAGGAAAAGCUCUCAAAGUUCAGCGCCCAGUGUAUUAUUUGUCUGAAGUCUUGACUCCAUCCAAGCAGAGAUAUCCUCAUUAUCAGAAGCUUGUGUAUGGAAUAUACAUGACCACAAAGAAGGUUGCUCAUUAUUUCUCUGACCAUUCCAUCACAGUCAUCAGCGACGCUCCACUAUCAGAGAUUUUGCACAACAGAGAUGCAACUGGUCGAGUGGCCAAAUGGGCGAUUGAACUUCUUCCCCUUGAUAUCAAGUUUGAGGCAAAGAAAGUCAUUAAGUCCCAGGCGAUAGCAGAUUUCCUCGCCGAGUGGAUUGAACAACAGCAGCCGACUGAAGUUCACUCGGAGCAUUGGACCAUGUUUUUUGAUGGCUCUAAGAUGUUGAAUGGUUCCGGUGCUGGGGUUGUCCUGGUUUCCCCCGGAGGAGAUAAGCUCAGAUAUGUGCUCCAGAUUCACUUUGAUUCCUCCAACAAUGAGGCAGAAUAUGAGGCCCUCCUAUAUGGGUUGUGCAUGGCCAUUUCACUCGGCGUCCGUCGCCUAAUGGUCUAUGGCGACUCGGAUUUAGUGGUCAAUCAGGUGAUGAAAGAGUGGGACGUGAGAAGCCCAGCCAUGACUGGAUACUGCAGUGCAGUGAGGAAGCUGGAAAAGAGGUUCGAGGGGUUGGAGCUCCAUCAUAUACCCCGACUGAAAAAUCAAGCAGCUGAUGAUCUAGCAAAGAUAGGUUCCAAGAGAGAAGCCAUUCCGAGUGGUGUGUUCUUGGAGCAUAUACACACUCCGUCAGUCAAAGAAGAUCCUUUCAUCGAAGAAACUCCGCAGCCCACACAGCAUCAUCACGGAUACGGACACCGGUACUGCUGUUAGCUUCAUCAGGGAACUAAUAUUCAGAUAUGGUGUCCCACACAGCAUCAUCACGGAUAAUGGGUCGAACUUUGACUCAGAAGAAUUCAGAGAUUUCUGCAACUCCCAAGGCACACGGGUCGACUACGCUUCAGUCGCCCAUCCGCAGUCGAAUGGACAAGCAGAGCGAGCUAAUGGACUGAUUCUUAAGGGAUUGAAGCCUCGACUAAUGCGUGAUCUCAAACACGCGGCUGGAGCUUGGGUCGAUGAACUUCCCUCUGUACUCUGGGGACUGCGGACCACACCUAAUCGGUCGACCGGAAGAACUCCAUUCUUCUUGGUCUACGGAGCCGAAGCGGUCUUACCAAGUGAUCUUCUGCAUAAUGCUCCCCGAGUCGAAAUCUACAACGAAGCAGAAGCUGAACAAGCGCGGCAGGACGCAGUCGACCUUUUAGAGGAAGAAAGGGAGAUGGCUCUGAUCCGGUCGACCAUCUACCAACAAGAUCUGCGCCGUUUCCACGCCCGAAAUGUGAGAGGUCGAGCCUUCCAGGAAGGAGAUUUGGUUCUCCGAGUGGAUCAGCACAAACCACACAAGCUGGCUCCUUCUUGGGAAGGCCCCUUCAUAGUCACCAAGGUCCUCCACAAUGGGGCGUACCGUCUUUACAACGUCAAGCAUAAUUUCGACGAGGCCCGAGCUUGGAACGCGGAGCUACUCCGCCCAUUCUACACUUAAGUUUUAUCACUCGGAUGAGUUGCAAUAAAGUACUUUUGCAGUUCACGGACCUCAAAAUAAUAGUGUCAUAGUCCCUCCAUAAUUUUUGUCACUUUUUAUUUUUGUCCACAUAAAAUUCCCCCUCAGUGGGUGACUUAGCUGCGAAUCCGUUUUGCCUAAGUUUGUAAAAAUCCUACUGAGUGGUGAGCCAGACUCCCACUCGGAGGAUUAGCUGCGAAUCCGUUUCGCCUAAGUUUGUAAAAAUCCUACUGAGUGGUGAGCCAGACUCCCACUCGGAGGCUUAGCCGCGAAUCUGUUUCGCCUAAGUUUAUCAAAAUCCUACCGAGUGAAGAGCAACCCUCUCACUCGGGGGCUUAGCUGCAGCCCUGUGCUCGCCUAAGUUAUAAAAAUCCUACCGAGUGUAGAGCAACCCUCUCACUCGGGGGCUUAGCUGCAGUCCAAGCACUCGCCUAAGUUAUAAAAACCCUACCGAGUGAAGAGUAACCCUUUCACUCGGAGGCUUAGCUGCAGUCCAAGGACUCGCCUAAGUUAUAAAAAUCCUACCGAGUGAAGAGCAACCCUCUCACUCGGAGGCUUAGCUGCAGUCCAAGCACUCGCCUAAGUUAUAAAAAUCCUACCGAGUGAAGAGCAACCCUCUCACUCGGAGGCUUAGCUGCAGCCUCGUGCUCGCCUAAGUUAUAAAAAUCCUACAGAGUGAAGAGCAAUCCUCUCACUCGGGGGCUUAGCUGCANNNNNNNNNNNNNNNNNNNNNNNNNNNNNNNNNNNNNNNNNNNNNNNNNNNNNNNNNNNNNNNNNNNNNNNNNNNNNNNNNNNNNNNNNNNNNNNNNNNNNNNNNNNNNNNNNNNNNNNNNNNNNNNNNNNNNNNNNNNNNNNNNNNNNNNNNNNNNNNNNNNNNNNNNNNNNNNNNNNNNNNNNNNNNNNNNNNNNNNNNNNNNNNNNNNNNNNNNNAUCAAAAUCCUACCGAGUGAAGAGCAACCCUCUCACUCGGGGGCUUAGCUGCAGUCCAAGCACUCGCCUAAGUUAUAAAAAUCCUACCGAAUGAAGAGCAACCCUCUCACUCGGAGGCUUAGCUGCAGCCUCGUGCUCGCCUAAGUUAUAAAAAUCCUACCGAGUGAAGAGCAAUCCUCUCACUCGGGGGCUUAGCUGCAGCCCUGUGCUCGCCUAAGGUAUAAAAAUCCUACCGAGUGAAGAGCAACCCUCUCACUCGGAGGCUUAACUGCAGCCCUGUGCUCGCCUAAGGUAUAAAAACCCUGCCGAGUGGAGAGCAACCCUCUCAUUCGAAGGGCUUAGCUGCAGCCCAGUGCUCGCCUAAGUGGACUAAAGAAUAAGUCGAUUGCAGUACAGGCACCUUGCUUUGAACCUGCAGAAGACAUUCCGAGCCGAAGGCAAUCGUAUUCAAGCACCAAAUCCAAGUUUGAAUCGACAUCUAAAGGAACCGAAAGUGCUCAGGCGUCAAGCCUGUUAAGGUUUGUCGGUUACAAUUCCACUCGGCAUACCGAGGCAAAUUUAAAGCGUCGAGCCAGAAGAAGUUUUUUACCCCUCCUAUGGAGGGCUGGAAGGUGCAACAAAUUCAUGAAGGUCAAUCCCGUCGGCGAUCCGAGUGGCGGCUGCAAGGAAAGUUUCCAUAAAGGACCUGAAGUCGUGCUUCUUGGUAUUGGCCACCCGAAGGGCCGCCAGCUUCUCUUCUCGCGCAUCUUUGCAGUGGACUCGGGCCAGACACAGAGCGACGUCUGCACCACACCGAGCCGAGGACUUCUUCCACUCCUGCACUCGACCAGGGAUCGUGUUCAAGCGGGCCAUCAGCGACUCAAGGUCAUUCUGAAGUGUCUCCUCAGGCCAGAGCGUCGAGUCGAUGCGAGAUGUGGCGGCCUUCAGCCUUGCGAGAUAGUCCACGACAGCUGCAACACGAGACUCCAGUCGGAAAACAUCCAUGGCAACUUCGUCGUUCACCGGAGAAUUGACGGGGUCGAGGUUUGGCUCCAGUCGGCUGGUUUCUUCUUCAAAGUUAUGACAAAAUUCUGCAAGGAUGAUCACUAAGUCAAGGGGAUAGUCGAAUGGAAAAAGCCACAAUUGGAAAUAUUUGCCAAACAUGGAGGUUUACCUUCAAGCAUAAGAAACAGCUUCUUGGCAAGGCCACUCAGGAAGGCCUCCAGUUCAGUUUUCUUCUCAGUCAAUUUGCUGACUUGGUCGGUCAGGGCAGCUUUAUCAGUUUUCAGUCGACUGACCUCCUUGUUGGCAAUCCCAAGAGCAGCUUUCAGAUUGGUAUUGUCUUGUUCGAGCUUGGUGACUGAAGCUAACUUCUCGUCAGCAAGCUUGAUCUUCUCAGCUAGCUCAAGGUCUUUCUUCUGCUGGGCCUCCCUUACCUUACCUGCAAGUUACAGCAAGAUCAGAUUUUGAAACAAGCAAGGGGAAAAGCAGUCGUCAGGGUCUCACCAAACAUACCUUCGGUCUCCUCCUUUGCCUUUGUCAGUUUCUCUUGAACCAGCUUCAAGCUCAGCUCGACUUGAGUAUGUUUUUGUUCCAGCUCUGAGUAGCGAGCCACAAGAUCACAAGAGUUCUGCGAAGAACCAAUCGACUAAAAGUCAAAAAUAAUUCACUUCCGAGUGAAAAAGGGAAAAACACACGUUUCUAAGACUACAGCCGAAUACAAGCAUUCGACCGUAGUCUCGGGGACUACACCCAGUGGGUGCACUCAGCGUGCCCCCACUAAUCCCGAUGAAGACAAAGUCGACCAGUCGACCUCAAAAAAAAAAGAGAGAUGCAUUCUCUAAGACUGUGAUCAACUGCAAGCAGUCGACCACAGUCUCGGGGACUACACCCAGUGGGUGCACUCAGCGUGCCCCCACCGGUUUGUGAAAUCCAGUCGACAUAGUCGACUGAAAGAAAAAUUGACGUCAUAAAGCCUAAGGCCGACUGCCAGCAGUCGACCUUAGCCUUGGGGACUACACCCAGUGGGUGCACUCAGCGUGCCCCCACCGGUUUGUGAAAUCCAGUCGACCAGUCGACUGACAGAAAGAUUGACAUCAUAAAGCCUAAGGCCGACUGCCAGCAGUCGACCUUAGCCAUGGGGACUACACCCAGCGGGUGCACUCAGCGUGCCCCCGCUAACACGGAGUUUAUUCGACACACCCAGUGGGUGACUACUAUAAAUUCUGGAAAAGAAAAGUUUUUGGUAGCAUAUCCAACAGAACAAACAGCGGUCGACUGACCUGGACAUUGCUUUGGAGGGCAGAACUGGCGUCAUAAGCUGCCUGGCUCGCGUCCCGGAUGAUCUUCAGCUGCUCCAUCAUGAGUCCCGCCUGGCGUAUUGCUUCCUUCGCUGCGCCAGCUUGGUCCUCGGGGACGUGGUGCGUCGUGAAGAGGGAGGGCUGCUGAGCACUCGUCAGUGGAUUUGCGAAGGACACCGUGUGUCGAGUGGUGUUCUCUUCCUCCACAGUCAGAAUCUCAGGCGCCGUCACAUCCUGAGGCACCUUACUGGUGGACGCUUUCUGACUCCUCCUGCGUGCCAGUGGUUCUUCAUCCUCGUCGUCAUCAGGAAGAUUGAUAACAGUAUUGGGUGGAGCUGCGGAGAAGAAUCAGAAUCAGAGAUCGCGAGUCAGUCGACUAAGAACGGCGUCAAGAAUACAGUACCUGGGUUCGAAGUCGCUGCGUCCUCCAUCUCGUGGUCAUCAGCCCGAGCUGAGGUUUCAGAAGUAGCAGCACUGCAACUCCAAAGGAUCAGUCGACUAGCUUUAGCGUCGACCAGAGACAAAGUUCACACAAAAUGAGAAGAUGCAAACGACACAAUUACCCUGAUAUGGUGGGGAUGGACACCUUCAUCUUCGGCAGGAGCUUGGUCGGCUUUGGCGGAGCCCCCCUAGGCUGCUUCGGCGCCUUUUUAGUCGGCGCUAGAGAGGUGGUCCUAGGGCGCUUGGUCGACUGCGUCACAACCCCCUUGCCACGUUCAGUCGAAGGGUCGUGGACGAGCUUCGACCGCCUUUCUGAGCGCGGCGGUACGACCUCCUCCUCCUCCUCUUCCUCGUCCUCGACGUCGUCUUCAUCACCGACAUCAUCAUCAUCGUCGUCAUCAUCCUCUGCAACAUCCGAGUCCCAUUCCUCCUCUUCCUGGCUCUCGCCCCCGCUCGCCUCGCCCUCCUCAGUCGAAGCUUGUGCCCCAUUGGGAAUCGAGUACAGCUCGGUGAGGGCCUAGCAGAUGCCCAGACAAGGAUCAGUCGACCAGUCGGCAGGGUUAACAGAAAUGAAUACGACGAGGGCGCAGUGGAGAGCAGAGCAAGUGUACCUUGUUUGAGUCGCUGUUGUGGUCGAGUGGAGGAAUCCUUCUGGCUCCGUGUGGGUUGUCCUUGUUUCCGGUGACGGCUGCCAUCCAUCUUUCCAGAGUGACAUCGUUGACUGCUUCUGGAUGGACUCUAGUCUCGUCUUCGGUCCCACAGUACAACCACAUGCAGUGGCUCCGGAACUGGAGAGGCUGGAUGCGACGCCUGAGGAAAACCUCCAGGAGGUCCAUGCCCGUCACUCCCUCCCGAACCAACUGCACCACGCGCUCCAUCAACAUCUUCACGUCAGCUUUCUCCUCCGGAAUCAGCUUCAGAGGGGAAGGCUUGCUCACUCGGUCCAUGGUGAACGGAGGGAGUCCACUCGACUGCCCUGGCGUCGACUGGACCUGGCAGUAGAACCAAGUCGACUGCCAGCCUCUGACAGACUCGGGAAAGGUCAUGGGCGGGAAGGUGCUCUUAUUCCUCACCUGAAUCCCCAGGCCUCCGCACAUUUGGACGACUCGGGUUCUCUCAUCACCUGGGCUCGCCUUCUUCACGGUCUGAGAUCGACACGUGAAUAUAUGUUUGAACAAACCCCAGUGCGGUCGACAGCCCAAGAAACCCUCACACAUGGACACGAACGCAGCAAGAUAGGCAAUGGAGUUUGGGGUAAAAUGGUGGAGCUGCGCUCCGAAGAAAUUCAAGAAGCCACGAAAGAAAACACUCGGCGGCAAGGAAAACCCGCGAUCAACAUGGGUGGCCAAAACCACACACUCACCCUCUUCUGGCUGGGGCUGCCACUCCUUCCCCGGAAGCCUCGCAGCUCCGUGGGGGAUCAAGCCCUCGUUGGCCAUGUCGAGGAGGUCAUUCUCCGUGAUGGUCGACUGGAUCCAGUCUCCUUGGACCCAGCCCUUCGACAGGCGGGAUCUGGACGAGGACCCUCCGGGGCUGGUGGAUCUCCCCUUCGCCUUCUCCGAUGCCGACGCCUUCUUUGCACGCUCCAGCGCCGCCGUCUUCUCCUUGGCCAUGGUCGCCGGCGAGAUGCGCAAAGGGAAGUGGUGCGGGGGCGAGAGCGAGCACGCUGAGCAGGGAGGAAGGAAGCAGAGAGAGGGGGAGAAUGCUAAGGCGCAGCACAGAAAUCCUCGCCGGGCACAUUUAUAAGGUCCCUUCCGAGUGGAUGACAGGUGGGCCCGGUCGAUCUAAUCAUAUCUGGAACAGUUAUGCAGACGGGAUACGUGGCGAAAAAGGCGGCACGGAGAUCGAGGCGUCCAUGCCCCGUCCCAUCCGAACGCCGCGGUCCGCCCCGCUUCGCGCGCGCCCCCAAAUUUCGCAUCCCGCGGAAUCCGCGAGCAACAAAUCAGUCUGUCAGGCGCGGUGUUUCCGGCGAUCCGUCGCUCGGAGAUCGUCGAAGCCUGAAAGAUCACUCGACGCAAAAACAGAAUGGAUCAAGUCGACUGAAGGCAAGUUGUCUCCUGUCGACGAAGAGAUUCUUUGGUCCAGAACAGCGCACAACCGGAGCGCAAAGGUUAAUCGGAAACGACAUCAACUCCUUCUUCACUCGAAGCCUCAAUCCAUUCGGGGGCUAAUGAUGGGGUUAUGUACCUAGGGUAGGGUCAUGGACCUGAUCCAAGUAACUUACCCCAGGACAUCCUUAGAAGAGGUCGCCUUCCAGUCGACCAACGAGGAUUCACUCGACUGGCCUGAAGGACUCGACCACGAAGACUCACUCGACCACCAGGAGGUCAAGAGGCACUCUGCACUGCAACGGCCUGUAAUCAAGUAGACUUUAUGAUAGUAAAGGCCUUUAUGUGGGGCGUUACCAGUAACGCCCCAGACUUAACUCACCUUAAACCCUCUCCUACGUGGGCUGGCUGGGGUCCUGGCGCACUCUAUAUAAGCCACCCCCCUCCACAGGCAGAAGGGUUCGGCACCUUGUAGUUCAUACAUUCAUAAUCCACUCGACCGCCUCCGGGCUCCGAGACGUAGGGCUGUUACUUCUUCCGAGAAGGGCCUGAACUCGUACAUCCUUUGUGCUUACAACCUCUCCAUAGCUAGGACCUUGCCUCUCCAUACCUACCCCCCACUCUACUGUCAGGCUUAGAACCACGACAUGGAGCAAUGUAGAUAGAUGGGGGAAGGUGAUGAAGAUGUUGGUGAAGAUGACAGAGGUGUUGGUGUAGAUCGCCGUCACACGAGGAUGGCCCCGAUGGCGUUCCGGCGCCACCGGGAGAGAGGGGGAGAGGGCCCCCCUUUUUCUUCUUCCUUGACCUUCUCCCUAGAUGGGAGAAGGGUUUCCCAUCUGGGCCUUGGCUCCCAUGGAAUGGGAGGGGCGAGAGCCCCUCCGAGAUUGGAUCUUUCGCUCUGUCUCUCUCUGUUUCUGCGUUUCAGAUUCUGGCCUUUCAUCGUUUCUUAUAUUCUCGGAGAGCCAUAACUCCGAUUGGGCUGAAACUUUAACAUGAUUUUUAUAUGGAUAUUAUAUUUCUUGCGGCGAAAGAAGGGCACCAACCACCUUACGGGGUGGCCACAAGGGCCUAGGGCAUGCCUGACCCCCUGGGGCGCGCCCCCUGCCUCGUGGCCCCCUCGAGCAUCGUCUCGUGUUGAUUCUUCUUCCAAAAAAUCACAUAUAUUCCAAAAAAAUCUCCGUCAGUUUUCAUCCCGUUUGGACUCCGUUUGAUAUGGAUUUUCUGUGAAACAAAAAACAUGCAACAAAUAGGAACUGGCACUGGGCACUGGAUCAUUAUGUUAGUCCCAAAAAUAGUAUAAAAAGUUACCAAAAGUAUAUGAAACUUGUAUAAUAUUGGCAUGGAACAAUAAAAAAUUAUAGAUACGACGGCGACGUAUCAGCAUCCCCAAGCUUAAUUCUUGCUCGUCCUCGAGUAGGUAAAUGAUAAAAAAGAUAUUUUUUGAUGUGAAAUGCUACCUAGCAUAAUCUUGAUCAUGUAAUCUAAUCAUGGCAUGAAUAUUAAGACACGAGUGAUUCAAAUAAAUAGUCUAUCAUUUGACAUUAAGAAAAUAAUACUUCAAGCAUACUGAGGGAGUCCUGGAUUAGGGGGUCUCCGGACAGCCGAACUAUUGUACUAUGAAGAUACGAGAUUGAAGACUUCUUCCCGUGUCAGGAUGGGACUCUACUUGGCGUGGAAGGCAAGCUAGGCAAUACGGAUAUGUAUAUCUCCUCCUUUGUAACCGACCUUGUGUAACCCUAGCUGAGGGAGUCCUGGAUUAGGGGGUAUCCAGACAGCCGGAUUAUGACCUUUGGCCAGACUGUUGGACUAUGAAGAUACAAGAUUGAAGACUUCAUCCCGUGUCUGGAUGGGACUCUACUUGGCAUGGAAGGCAAGCUAGGAAAUACGGAUAUGUAUAUCUCCUCCUUUGUAACCGACCUUGUGUAAUCCUAGCCCCCUCCGGUGUCUAUAUAAACCGGAGGGUUUUAGUCCGUAGGACAACAUACAAUCAUACCAUAGGCUAGCUUCUAGGGUUUAGCCUCUCCGAUCUCGUGGUAGAUCAACUCUUGUACUACUCAUAUUAUCAAGAAUAAUCAAGCAGGACGUAGGGUUUUACCUCCAUCAAGAGGGCCCGAACCUGGGUAAAACAUCAUGCCCCCUUCCUCCUGUUACCAUCCGCCUUAGACGCAUAGUUCGGGACCCCCUACUGGAGAUCCGCCGGUUUUGACACAGACAUUGGUGCUUUCAUUGAGAGUUCCACUGUGUCGUCGCCAUAAGGAAGGAUGCCUCAUCUCGUUGUUAAAAACAACAUUACCGCCGGAGGAGCCUUGGCUGUCGGCCAAACUCUCCGGCUUGGCAGUUUCAUCAUGACUGCUAGUUCGGCUGCUGCACCAACGAUGACUUCUCGGGUCAUCAAAAAUAGCCUGCACGUCGGCUCGGAAUUCGCUAAGCAGAUGAAUCCAAUAGAGAUCUCUUCCCUAAACGAGCUCUGGGAUCGUAUUGCUGCCUUGGGAGUCGCUACAGACUAUGAUCGGAUUGGGCUUAAACCCGAUCAAAGGGAGAUUAAUUCUCCACCGGUCACCCAUCAUAUUGCGGUGGUGGAGGAACAAUGCGGCGAUUUAGCCUCUACCUUGAGGACUAACUAUGUCCGGAUUCCUGAGCUCUCCGAGCCGGAUACCCGUGUACGGGAGGACAUCACCCAAGCCCUUAACCUAGAGUCAAGCAGCGGGCCAGACUCAUCGGGCAACACUCCGGAAUCCGAACUUCCAAGAUCAGAAACUCCUCGGCCCCUGGGUCUUAGAUCGGGUAGGGGUUCGGACUCAAAUCCACCCACCCACCCAGACAUAAACGAUCUUUCCCACAUCAGGCAAGAUCCCCAUGAAAUAGUACAUCAUUAUUGGGCCAGAUUCCUCCUUGUGAUGAACAAGGUUAAGGACUGUCAUGAGGAAGACGCAGUCUCAUUCUUCUGCAAUAAUUGCAUGGACAAGGGAAUCCUUAACGCCUUAAGUCGCCGUGACAUAUCACGCUUCACCGACUUGGCAUCCAUAGUAUGAAAGUACUAUGCGAUGGAAAGCGCCUGGAAAACCGAAACAAAAUUUUGGGAUAAUCCGGCUCGAAAUAUACACCCAGUCCGAAGUAAAAGGGUGCAGUAUCAUAAGACACCCGAACUAGUUACAAAGAAACAAAAACCCUCUAUAGGGCAUGGAACCGUAUUGGAGGGAUGGCUUAACGGACCCUGCAAAAUUCAUAGUGAAGCGGAUACCAUACCAACACACAGCCUUAGAGCAUAUUGGAUACUUCGGCAGGUGGCCAAAAGUGGUGAGGAUCUUCUCAUCCCAAAUGCUACAGAGCACCAUCCCGUGGAUAACAAUAUGGUAUUAACAGUCUUUGAAACCUUCGCAUCAAAUAAAAGGCGCAAGCGAACACUUCGCAGCCUCGCCGAAAUCUGUCACGUGGCAGCAAUGAAUCCAUGGAGUGACACGGCUAUUACCUUCAAUGCCAGUGACGAACCCAAAUUCCGAACAGCCCAAGCACCAUCUGCACUGGUCCUUAGUCCAAUUGUGGACGGCUUUCGACUCACCAAAGUACUCAUGGACGGUGGUAUUGGAUUAAACCUCAUUUAUGAGGAAACUCUUCAAAAAAUGGAAAUAGACUAGAACCGCAUUGAGCAAAGUAGCACAACCUUCAGAGGAAUCAUCCCUAGUCAGGAAGCACGCUGUGCUGGGAAAAUCACACUAGAUAUGGUAUUCGGCACGCCGGAGAACUAUAGGUCUGAAGAAAUUACAUUCCAAGUGGCCCCAUUUAGUAGUGGAUACCACGCCCUUUUAGGACGGGAGGCGUUCAUGAUCUUCCAAGCCAUACCCCAUUAUGGGUACAUGAAGCUCAAAAUGCCCGGGCCCAACGGAAUCAUCACUCUCACUAGUGAUCCGGACACAGCACUCCGCGCUGAAAACAAAACAACCGCAUUGGCCCUCGAGGCAUUAUCCGAAGCCCUUUUGGCCGAGGAACUAACUGCGCUACGCUCCACGGUGGGCAUGGACGACGUGAUACUUGACAAGAGAUCCAAGUCCACCUCUUUUAAACCAGUGGAUGAAAUAGUCAAAUUCCAAGUCCACCCAACGGACCCUACAAAAACAGCCUCCAUUGGGGCACAGUUAAAUCCCGUCGUGGACGCUGCACUACGAGAGUUCCUGUGCGAGAAUUGGGACAUAUUCGCCUGGCACCCCCCAGACAUGCCAGGAAUCCCACCCAGGCUGGCCGAGCAUAGCCUCAAUAUCCUAAAGGGAUUCAAGCCGGUCAAGCAGGCUCUUCGUCGUUUCUCUUAACCUAAGAGACAAGCUAUGGGAGAGGAACUAUCCAAGUUAUUGGAGGCCGGAUUCAUUAGAGAAAUAAAACACCCAGACUGGCUAGCAAACCUGGUGAUGGUACCAAAGAAGGACAAAUCCUGGCGCCUAUGUGUCGAUUUCAAGGACCUCAACAAGGCUUGCCCAAAGGAUCCCUUCCCCCUCCCCCACAUCGAUCAAAUUAUUGAUGCUACCGCAUGACACAAGUCAUUGUGUUUCCUCGACGCAUACUCCGGCUAACACCAAAUCAAGAUGGUGGAGUCUGACCAAGCCGCAACGACAUUUAUCACACCAUACGGCCCCUUCUGUUUCAACACAAUGCCUUUUGGGCUCAAAAACGCCGGCGCAACAUAUCAGCGCAUGAUUCAGACAUGUCUGGAGAAACAGAUCGGCAAAACAGUAGAGGCAUAUGUAGAUGAAAGUGCAACUAUCCAUAGGUGGUUUUGGUAAUUCCUAACAACAUAUAGCUCAUUGAGCUAAUGCUAUUCCAAGAUUAAUAUUUCAGGAAAAGCUUAAUGAAUGGCAUGGCAUGGAUGAGGAAAGUGGACCCCUCAAAAUACUAAGGACAAAAAGAUUGGCUCAAGCUCAAAGCUCAAGACUCUACAUUUUAUACUUUAGUGAUCCAAGAUCACAUUGAGUCUAUAGGAAAAGCCAAUACUAUCAAGGAGGGAUGAGGUGUUGCUUGAUGAGGUUCUUGCUUCAUAGUGCUUAGUGAUAUGCUCCAAAACCCUCAACUACCUUCCCACAUCCACAUAUGACCUAAACCAAAAGUCAAACUCGGCCCCACCGAUUCUUUCUAUCCGGCGCCACCGAGUUCAGAUGUCAUAGCCACUGCCACAAACCCUAGGCAAAUCGGUCCCACCGAUAGGGAUCUUGGUCACACCGAGAUGGGGUUGUAAUCUCUCUGUUUCCCUUUGUAACGUUUUGGUCCUACCGAGAUGAGCGAUCGGUCCCACCGAGAUUGCAAUGUAAACUCUCUGUUUCCCUUUUGUAACAUUUCGGUCCCACCGAAAUGAGCAAAUCGGUCCCACCGAGUUUACCUAACCAACUCUUUGGUUAGCUUAUUACCAAAAUCGGUCCCAUCGAGUUUGUGUAAUCGGUCACACCGAGAUUACGUUAUGCCCUAACCCUAACCAUAUAAGUCCCACCGAAUUGCAUCUCAGUCCCAUCGAAAAUCCUGACGGUCACUAGGUUUGCUAAAUCAGUCCGACCGAGUUUCUCAAUUCGGUCUCACCGAGAUUGGUAAAUUGUGUGUAACGGUUAGAUUUUGGGUGGAGGCUAUAUAUACCCCUCCACCCACUCUUCAUUAGUGGAGAGAGCCAUCAGAAUACACCUACACUUCCAAUACACAUUUUCUGAGAGAGAACCACCUACUCAUGUGUUGAGGCCAAUAUAUUCCAUUCCCACCAUAUGAAUCUUGAUCUCUAGCCUUCCCCAAGUUGCUUUCCACUCAAAUAUUCUUUCCACAAAAUCCAUAUCCUGUGAGAGAGAGUUGAGUGUUGGGGAGACUAUCAUUUGAAGCACAAGAGCAAGGAGUUCAUCAUCAACACACCAUUUGUUACUUCUUGGAGAGUGGUGUCUCCUAGAUGUUGGGGAACGUUGCAGAAAAGAAAAUUUUUCCUACGGUUUCACCAAGAUCCAUCUAUGAGUUCAUCUAGCAACGAGUGAUCAGAUGCAUCUACAUACCUUUGUAGAUUGCGAGCGGAAGCAUUCAAAGAACGGGGAUGAGGUAGUCGAACACGACGUGAUCCAAAUCACCGGAGAUCCUAGCGCCGAACGGACGGCACCUCCGCGUUCAACACACGUACGGUCAGCGUAAUGUCUCCUUCUUCUUGAUCCAGCAAGGGGGAAGGAGAGGUUGAGGAAGAUGGCUCCAGCAGCAGCACGACGGCGUGGUGGUGAUGGAGCUGCAGUACUCCGACAGGGCUUCGCCGAGCUCUACGGAGGAGGAGGGGGUGUUGGAGAGGGAGAGGGAGGCGCCAAAGGCUGAGGUAUGAAGUCCUCCAUCUCCCCACUAUAUAUAGGAGGGCCAAGGGGGGGGGGGCCGGCCCUCGGAGAUCCAAUCUCCUAGGGGGCGGCGGCCAAGGGAGGUUUCCCUCCCCCCCAAGGCACCUAGGGGCUGCCUUCCCCUUGUGGGACUCUUCCCUCUUGAAACCCUAGGCGCAUGGGCCUCUUGGGGCUGGUGCGCCUUGGCCCAUGUAGGCCAAGGCGCAACCCCUACAGCCCAUGUGGCCCCCUGGGGCAGGUGGCCCCACCCGGUGGACCCCCGGGACCCUUCCGGUGGUCCCGGUACAAUACCGAUAACCCCGAAACUUGUCCUGAUGGCCGAAAUAGCACUUCCUAUAUAUAAUUCUUUACCUCCGAACCAUUCCGGAACUCCUCGUGAUGUCCAGGAUCUCAUUCGGGACUCCGAACAACAUUCGGGUUACUACAUAUACAUAUCCCUACAACCCUAGCGUCACCGAACCUUAAGUGUGUAGACCCUACGGGUUCGGGAGACAAGCAGACAUGACCGAGACGACUCUCCGGUCAAUAACCAAGAGCGGGAUCUGGAUACCCAUGUUGGCUCCCACAUGCUCCACGAUGAUCUCAUCGGAUGAACCACGAUGUCGAGGAUUCAAGCAACCCCGUAUGCAAUUCCCUUCCAAUCGAUAUGUUACUUGCCUGAGAUUUGAUCGUCGGUAUCCCAAUACCUCGUUCAAUAUCGUUACUGGCAAGUCACUUUACUCGUACCGUAAUGCAUGAUCCCGUGACCAGACACUUGGUCACUUUGAGCUCAUAAUGAUGAUGCAUUACCGAGUGGGCCUAGUGAUACCUCUCCGUCAUACGGAGUGACAAAUCCCAGUCUUGAUCCGUGUAAACCCAACAGACACUUUCGGAGAUACCCGUAGUCUACCUUUAUAGUCACCCAGUUACGUUGUGACGUUUGGUAUACCCAAAGCACUCCUACGAUAUCCGGGAGUUACACAAUCUCAUGGUCUAAGGAAAGGAUACUUGACAUUGGAAAAACUCUAGCAAACGAACUAUACGAUCUUAUGCUAUGUUUAGGAUUGGGUCUUGUCCAUCACAUCAUUCUCCUAAUGAUGUGAUCUCGUUAUCAAUGACAUCCAAUGUCCAUAGUCAGGAAACCAUGACUAUCUGUUGAUCAACGAGCUAGUCAACUAGAGGCUUACUAGGGACAUGUUGGUGUCUGUUAUUCACACAUGUAUUACGAUUUCCGGAUAACACAAUUAUAGCAUGAAUAAAGACAAUUAUCAUGAACAAGGAAAUAUAAUAAUAAUGCUUUUAUUAUUGCUUAUAGGGCAUAUUUCCAACAGUCUCCCACUUGCACUAGAGUCAAUAAUAUAGUUACAUUGUGAUGAAUCGAACACCCAUGGAAUUCUGGUGUUGAUCAUGUUUUGCUCUAGGGAGAGGUUUAGUCAAUGGAUCUGCUACAUUCAGGUCCGUAUGAACUUUACAAAUAUCUAUGUCUCCAUCUUGAACAUUUUCACGAAUGGAGUUGAAGCGACGCUUGAUGUGCCUUGUCUUCUUGUGAAACCUGGGCUCCUUGGCAAGUGCAAUAGCUCCAGUGUUGUCACAGAAGAGUUUGAUUGGCCCCGACGCAUUGGGUAUGACUCCUAGGUCGGUGAUGAACUCCUUCACCCAAAUUGCUUCAUGUGCUGCCUCCGAGGCUGCCAUGUACUCCGCUUCACAUGUAGAUCCCGCCACGACGCUCUGCAACUGCAGCAGCUUACUGCCGCACCAUUCAAAAUAUACACGUAUCCGGUUUGUGACUUAGAGUCUUCCAGAUCUGUGUCAAAGCUAGCAUCGAUGUAACCCUUUACGAUGAGCUCUUCGUCAUCUCCAUAAACGAGAAACAUUUCCUUAGUACUUUUCAGGUACUUCAGGAUAUUCUUGACUGCUGUCCAAUGUUCCUUGCCGGGAUUACUUUGUUACCUUCCUACCAAACUUACGGCAAGGUUUACAUCAGGUCUAGUACACAGCAUGGAAUACAUAAUAGCACCUAUGGCUGAGGCAUAGGGGAUGACACUCAUCUCUUCUAUAUCUUCUGCCGUGGUCGGACAUUAAGAAGAGCUCAAUUUCACGCCUUGCAACACAGGUAAGAACCCCUUCUUAGACUGAUCCAUAUUGAACUUCUUCAAUAUCUUAUCAAGGUAUGUGCUUUGUGAAAGACCUAUGAGGCGUCUUGAUCUAUCUCUAUAGAUCUUGAUGCCUAAUAUAUAAGCAGCUUCUCCAAGGUCCUUCAUUGAAAAACUCUUAUUCAAGUAGGCCUUAAUGCUGUCCAAGAGUUCUAUAUCAUUUCCCAUCAAAAGUAUGUCAUCUACAUAUAGUAUGAGAAAUGCUACAGAGCUCCCACUCACUUUCUUGUAAACGCGGGCUUCUCCAUAAGUCUGCGUAAACCCAAACGCUUUGAACAUCUCAUCAAAGCGAAUGCUCCAACUCCGAGAUGCUUGCACCAGCCCAUAAAUCGAGCGUUGGAGCUUGCACACCUUGUCAGCAUUCUUAGGAUCGACAAAACCUUCCGGCUGCAUCAUAUACAAUUCUUCCUGAAGGAAACCAUUUAGGAAUUCCGUUUUGACGUCCAUUUGCCAUAUUUCAUAAUCGUAGAAUGCGCAAUUGCUAACAUGAUUCGGACGGACUUUAGCUUCACUACCGGUGAGAAAGUCUCAUCGUAGUCAACCCCUUGAACUUGUCGAUAAACCUUAGCGACAAGCCGAGCUUUAUAGAUGGUCACAUUACCAUCCGCGUCUAUCUUCUUCUUAAAGAUCCAUUUAUUUUCUAUGGCUCGCCGUUCAACGGGAAAGUCAGUCAAAGUCCAUACUUCGUUUUCAUACAUGGAUCCUAUCUCGGAUUUCAUGGCUUCUAGCCAUUUGUCGGAAUCCGGGCCCGCCAUCGCUUCUUCAUAGUUCGAAGGUUCACCGUUGUCUAACAACAUGAUUUCGAAGACAGGGUUGCCGUACCACUCUGGUGCGGAACGUGUCCUUGUGGACCUUCGAAUUUCAGUAGCAACUUGAUCUGAAGUUUCAUGAUCAUCAUCAUUAACUUCGUCUCUAGUCGGUGCAGGCACCUCAGGAACAUUUUCUUGAGUUGCGCCAUUUUCCGGUUCAAGAGGUAAUACUUCAUCAAGUUCUACUUUCCUCCCACUUACUUCUUUCGAGAGAAACUCUUUCUCUAGAAAGGAUCCAUUCUUGGCAACAAAGAUCUUGCCUUCGGAUCUGAGGUAGAAGGUAUACCCAAUAGUUUCUUUAGGGUAUCCUAUGAAGACGCAUUUUUCCGACUUGGGUUAGAGCUUUUCAGGUUGAAGUUUCUUGACAUAAGCAUCGCAUCCCCAAACUUUUAGAAAUGACAGCUUAGGUUUCUUCCCAAACCAUAAUUCAUACGGUGUCGUCUCAAUGGAUUUCGAUGGAGCCCUAUUUAAAGUGAAUGCGGCAGUCUCUAAAGCAUAGCCCCAAAAAGAUAGCGGUAAAUCGGUAAGAGACAUCAUAGAUCGCACCAUAUCUAAUAGAGUGCGAUUACAACGUUCGGACACACCAUUACGCUGAGGUGUUCCAGGCGGCGUGAGUUGUGAAACUAUUCCACAUUUUCUUAAGUUUGUGCCAAAUUCGUGACUCAAGUAUUCUCCUCCACGAUCUGAUCGUAGAAACUUGAUUUUCCUGUCACGUUGAUUCUCAACCUCACUCUGAAAUUCCUUGAACUUUUCAAAGGUUUCAGACUUGUGUUUCAUUAAGUAGAUAUACCCAUAUCUACUCAAGUCAUCAGUGAGGGUGAGAACAUAACGAUAGCCACCGCGAGCCUCAACACUCAUUGGACCACACACAUCAGUAUGUAUGAUUUCCAAUAAGUUGGUUGCUCACUCCAUUGUUCCUGAGAAUGGAGUCUUGGUCAUUUUACCCAUGAGGCAUGGUUCGCACGUGUCAAAUGAUUCAUAAUCAAGAGACUCUAAAAGUCCAUCUGCAUGGAGCUUCUUCAUGCGUUUGACACCUAUGUGACCAAGGCAGCAGUGCCACAAGUAUGUGGGACUAUUAUUAUCAACCUUACAUCUUUUGGUACUCACACUAUGAACAUGUGUAGCAUUACGCUCGAGAUUCAUUAAGAAUAAACCAUUCACCAAAGGAGCAUGACCAUAAAACAUAUCUCUCAUAUAAAUAGAACAACCAUUAUUCUCGGAUUUAAAUGAGUAGCCAUCUCGAAUUAAACGAGAUCCCGAUACAAUGUUCAUGCUCAAAGCUGGCACUAAAUAACAAUUAUUAAGGUUUAAAACUAAUCCCGAAGGUAGAUGUAGAGGUAGCGUGCCGACGGCGAUCACAUUGACCUUGGAACCAUUCCCGUCGUGCAUCGUCACCUCGUCCUUCGCCAGUCUCCGCUUAUUCCGCAGCCCCUGUUUUGAGUUACAAAUGUGAGCAACUGCACCGAUAUCAAAUACCCAGGAGCUACUACGGGUACUGGUAAGGUACACAUCAAUUACAUGUAUAUCACAUAUACCUUUCGUUUUGCCGGCCUUCUUGUCCGCUAAGUAUUUGGGGCAGUUCCGCUUCCAGUGACCACUUUCCUUGCAAUAAAAGCACUCAGUCUCGGGCUUGGGUCCAUUCUUUGGCUUCUUCCCGGCAGCUUGCUUGCCGGGCGCGGCAACUCCCUUGCCGUCCUUCUUGAAGUUCUUUUUACCCUUGCCCUUCUUGAACUUAGUGGUUUUAUUGACCAUCAACACUUGAUGUUCCUUCUUGACUUCUACCUCUGCUGAUUUCAGCAUAGCAAAUACUUCAGGAAUGGUCUUUUCCAUCCCCUGCAUAUUGAAGUUCAUCACAAAGCUCUUGUAGCUUGGUGGAAGCGACUGGAGGAUUCUGUCAAUGACCGCGUCAUCCGGGAGAUUAACUCCCAGCUGAGUCAAGCAGUUAUGUAACCCAGACAUAGUGAGUAUGUGCUCACUGACAGAACUAUUCUCCUCCAUCUUACAGCUGAAGAAUUUGUCGGAGACUUCAUAUCUCUCGACCCGGGCAUGAGCUUGAAAAACCAUUUUCAGCUCUUCGAACAUCUCAUAUGCUCCAUGUCUCUCAAAACGCUUUUGGAGCCCCGGCUCUAAGCUGUAAAGCAUGCCACACUGAACGAGGGAGUAGUCAUCGGUACGUGCCUGCCAAGCGUUCAUAACGUCUUGUUCUACAGGGAGAACAUGUGCGUUACCCAGCGGUGCUUGUAGGACAUAAUCUUUCUUGGCAGCUAUGAGGAUGAUCCUCAGGUUCCGGACCCAGUCUGUGUAGUUGUUGCCAUCGUCUUUCAGCUCGGUUUUCUCUAGGAACGCGUUGAAGUUGAGGACUACGUUGGCCAUUUGAUCUACAAGAAAUAUUGUAAAUAUUUUAGACUAAGUUCAUGAUAAUUAAGUUCAUCAAAUUAUUCAAUGAACUCCCACUUAGAUAGACAUCCCUCUUCUAGUCAUCUAAGUAUAACAUGAUCCGAGUCAACUAUCUGUGUCCGAUCAUCACGUGAGACGGACUAGUCAACGUUGGUGAACAUCUUCAUGUUGAUCGUAUCUUCUACACGACUCAUGCUCGACCUUUCGGUCUUCUGUGUUCCGAGGCCAUGUCUGUACAUGCUAGGCUCGUCAAGUCAACCUAAGUGUUUGCAUGUGUAAAUCUGUCUUACACCCGUUGUAUGUGAACGUUUGAAUCAAACACCCGAUCAUCACAUGGUGCUUUGAAACAACGAACUGUCGCAACGGUGCACAGUUAGGGGAAACACUUUCUUGAAAUUAUUAUGAGGGAUCAUCUUAGUUACUAUCGUCGUUCUAAGUAAACAAGAUGCAAAAACAUGAUAAACAUCACAUGCAAUCAAAUAAUAGUGACAUGAUAUGGCCAAUAUCACAAAGCUCCUUUGAUCUCCAUCUUGGGGCUCCAUGAUCAUCUUGUCACCGGCUUGACACCAUGAUCUUCAUCAUCAUGAUCUCCAUCAUCGUGUCUCCAUGAAGUUGCUCGCCAACUAUUACUUCUACUACUAUGGCUAACGCGUUUAGCAAUAAAGUAAAGUAAUUUACAUGGCGUUUCUCAAUGACACGCAGGUCAUAUAAAAAAUAAAGACAACUCCUAUGGCUCCUGCCGGUUGUCAUACUCAUCGACAUGCAAGUCGUGAUUCCUAUUACAAUAGCAUGAACAUCUCAUACAUCACAUAUAGAUCAUUCAUCAUUCAUCACAACUUUGGCCAUAUCAUAUCACAAAGCACUUGCUGCAAAAACAAGUUAGACGUCCUCUAAUUGUUGUUGCAAGUUUUACGUGGCUGAAUUAGGGUUCUAGCAAGAACGUUUUCUUACCUACGUGAAAGCCACAACUUAAUUUGUCAACUUCUAUUUACCCUCCAUAAGGACCUUUUUCAUCGAAUCCGCUCCAACUAAAGUGGGAGAGACUGACACCCGCCAGCCACCUUAUGCAACUACUGCAUGUUAGUCGGUGGAACCGGUCUCACGUAAGCGUACGUGUAAGGUUGGUCCAGGCCGCUUCAUCCCACAAUACCGCUGAAGCAAGAUAAGACUAGUAGCGGCAAGAAAGUUGACAACAUCUACGCCCACAACAAAUUGUGUUCUACUCGCGCAAGAAGAACUACGCAUAGACCUAGCUCAUGAUGCCACUGUUGGGGAACGUUGCAGAAAACAAAAUGUUUCCUACGGUUUCACCAAGAUCCAUCUAUGAGUUCAUUUAGCAAUGAGUGAUCGGAUGCAUCUACAUACCUUUGUAGAUUGCGAGCGGAAGCAUUCAAAGAACGGGGAUGAGGUAGUUGAACACGACGUGAUCCAAAUCAUCGGAGAUCCUAGCGUCGAACGGAUGGCACCUCCGCGUUCAACACACGUACGGUCAGCGUAACGUCUCCUUCUUCUUGAUCCAGCAAGGGGGAAGGAGAGGUUGAGGAAGAUGUCUCCAGAAGCAACACGACGGCGUGGUGGUGAUGGAGCUGCAGUACUCCGACAGGGCUUCACCGAGCUCUACGGAGGAGGAGGGGGUGUUGGAGAGGGAGAGGGAGGCGCCAAAGGCUGAGCUAUGAAGUCGUCCAUCUCCCCACUAUAUAUAGGAGGGCCAAGGGGGGGUGCCGGCCCUAGGAGAUCCAAUCUCCUAGGGGGAGGCGGCCAAGGGAGGUUUCCCUCCCACCCAAGGCACCUAGGGGGUGCCUUCCCCUUGUGGGACUCUUCCCUCUUGAAACCCCAGGCGCAUGGGCCUCUUGGGGCUGGUGCCCUUGGCCCAUGUAGGCCAAGUCGCAACCCCUACAGCCCAUGUGGCCCCCCGGGGCAGGUGGCCCCACCCGGUGGACCCCCGGGACCCUUCCGGUGGUCCCGGUACAAUACCGAUAACCCCGAAACUUGUCCCGAUGGCCGAAAUAGCACUUCCUAUAUAUAAUUCUUUACCUCCGAACCAUUCCGGAACUCCUCGUGAUGUCCGGGAUCUCAUUCGGGACUCCGAACAACAUUCGGGUUACUGCAUAUACAUAUCCCUACAACCCUAGUGUCACCGAACCUUAAGUGUGUAGACCCUACGGGUUUGGGAGACAAGCAGACAUGACCAAGACGACUCUCCGGUCAAUAACCAACAUCGGGACCUGGAUACCCAUGUUGGCUCCCACAUGCUCCACGAUGAUCUCAUCGGAUGAACCACGAUGUCGAGGAUUCAAGCAACCCCGUAUGCAAUUCCCUUUGUCAAUCGAUAUGUUACUUGCCCGAGAUUCGAUCGUCGGUAUCCCAAUACCUCGUUCAAUCUCGUUACCGGCAAGUCACUUUACUCGUACCGUAAUGCAUGAUCCCAUGACCAGACACUUGCUCACUUUGAGCUCAUAAUGAUGAUGCAUUACCGAGUGGGCCCAGUGAUACCUCUCCGUCAUACGGAGUGACAAAUCCCAGUCUUGAUCCGUGUCAACCCAACAGACACUUUCGGAGAUACCCGUAGUCUACCUUUAUAGUCACCCAGUUACGUUGUGACGUUUGGUAUACCCAAAGCACUCCUACGGUAUCCGGGAGUUACAUGAUCUCAUGGUCUAAGGAAAGGAUACUUGACAUUGGAAAAACUCUAGCAAACGAACUAUACGAUCUUAUGCUAUGUUUAGGAUUGGGUCUUGUCCAUCACAUCAUUCUCCUAAUGAUGUGAUCUCGUUAUCAAUGACAUCCAAUGUCCAUAGUCUGGAAACCAUGACUAUCUGUUGAUCAACGAGCUAGUCAACUAGAGGCUUACUAGGGACAUGUUGGUGUCUGUUAUUCACACAUGUAUUACGAUUUUCGGAUAACACAAUUAUAGCAUGAAUAAAGACAAUUAUCAUGAACAAGGAAAUAUAAUAAUAAUGCUUUUAUUAUUGCCUCUAGGGCAUAUUUCCAACACUAGAUUAGCUAGGUGUCACUUGGGAGCCUCCGACAAGAUUGUGGAGUUGAACCAAGGAGUUUGUAAGGGCAAGGAGAUCGCCUACUUCGUGAAGAUCUACCGCUAGUGAGGCAAGUCCUUCAUGGGCGAUGUCCAUGAUGGGAUAGACAAGGUUGCUUCUUCGUGGACCCUUUGUGGGUGGAGCCCUCCAUGGACUUGCGCAACCAUUACCCUUCGUGGGUGAAUUCUCCAUCAACGUGGAUGUACGAUAGCACCACCUAUCGGAACCACGACAAAAACAUCCGUGUCUCCAAUUGCGUUUGAAUUCUCCAAGCACUUCCCUUUACAUUCUUGCAAGUUACAUGCUUUACUUUCCGCUGCUCAUAGACUCUUUGCAUGCUUGCUUGAAUUGUGUUAAGAUUGCUUGACUUGUGCUAAGAUAGCUAAAAUCUGCCAACGACUAAAAUUGGGAAAAGGAUAGAUUUUUAAUUGGUCAAGUAGUCUAAUCACCCCCCUCUAGACAUACUUUCGAUCCUACAAGUGGUAUCAGAGCUUUGGUCUCCAUUUGCUUUGAUUUCCAUAGCUUUUGGUGGUCAUAGCCUUGGUUUCACAACCUAGGCGAGUAUGGCGUCUAGCGAGGGAAAUUACAACCAUAGAGGUACUUACUUUGAUGGUACUAAUUUUGCUAGUUGGAAGCAUAAGAUGAAAAUGCAUAUUCUUGGACAUAACCCCACCGUUUGGGCUAUUGUGUGUGUUGGCUUGCAAGGUGAAUUCUUUGAUGGGAGAGAACCGAAUCGUGAAGCUACCGCGGAAGAGUUGAAGAUGCUACAAUACAAUGCUCAAGCUUGUGAUAUCCUCUUCAACGGAUUGUGCCCCGAAGAAUUCAACAAAAUCAGUCGUCUUGAGAAUGCAAAGGAAAUUUGGGAUACUUUGAUUGAUAUGCACGAAGGUACCGACUCCAUCAAGGAAUCCAAGUUGGAUGUGCUUCAAAGUCAACGUGACAAGUUCAAAAUGAAGGAUGGUGAAGGUGUCGCUGAAAUGUACUCUAAGCUUGCUCUUAUCACAAAUGAGAUUGCCGGCUUAGGAAGUGAAGAGAUGACCGACAAAUUCAUCAUCAAGAAGAUCUUAAAAGCCUUGGAUGGAAAAUACGAUACCGUAUGCACAUUGAUCCAAAUGAUGCCAAAUUACAAAGAUCUCAAGCCAACGGAAGUCAUUGGAAGAAUUGUUGCUCAUGAGAUGUCACUCAAGGAUAAGGAGGAGCUCCAUAAAAAGUCAAGUGGUGCUUACAAAGCCUCAUGUGAAGCCCCCACGUCAUCAAGUGAGAAACAAACCUUCAAUGAAGAAUUGAGCUUAAUGGUGAAGAACUUCAACAAUUUCUACAAGAAUAGAAGCAAAUAGAGAAGUUCCAAGUCAAGGUCCUACAAUGACAAAAGAUCUUCUAGUCGAGAGCGAAACUGCUACAAUUGUGGAAGACCCGGACACUACUCCAAUGAGUGUACGGCUCCCCACAAGAGAAGAGAAGAUUCUCCCAAAAGAAGAAGUAGAAGAGAAGAAUCACCAUCAAGGGAGAGAAGGAGUAGGGAUGAUAGAUAUGAAUGAAGACCCUCUCGGAGAAGCAAGGAUUCAGAAAGGAAGGACAAGUCAUCAAGGAGCUACACAAAAUGAAGACAUCAAGCUCAUGUUGGUGAAUGGGUAUCCGGCUCCGACUCCGACAAUGACUCCGAGAGAAGCUAUCACUCCGACUCUGAAUAUACUCAAGAUGAAGGUGUUUCUGGUCUACCACUAGUGUCAACCAACUCCUACGACACAUUUGAUUCACCAAAUGAAGGAAUUGGAAGAUGCUUCAUGGCCAAAGGUCCAAAGGUAUCACACCCCGGGUAUGUUGAUUUAAAUAGUGAUGAAUAUGACUUGUUAGGUGAUGAUGAUUUACUUGUUGACAACUAUAGUGAUGAAUACUAUGAUGAAACGAAUGAAAAUGAUAAGGAGAAGAUUGAGUCUCUAACUAAAGAACUAAACACUCUUAAGUUAGCUCAUGAAACUAUCUUAGGAGAUCAUCGAGAACUUUUAAGGACUCGUGAGAAAUUACGGUUUGAGAAGCUCAACCUUGAGCAAGAGCAUGAGUUCUUAAAGGCAAUCAAUGAUGAUCUUCGCAAGAAAAGUUCUUAUUACAUUGCCAAGCAUUUACUCUUAUCCACUUACAUGCCUCAAGUCAAGUCUAGUAACAAGAACAAGAAAGAUUCUUCCUCUCACUAGUAGAAAACAGGGCUUUGGUCCAGGCCGGGUCAGCCCAUUAGUCCCGGUUCAAUCUAGAACCGGGACCAAUGUGGGCAUUGGUCCCGGUUCGUGAGCCUAGGGGGCCGGCCGGGCCACGUGGGCCAUUGGUCCCUGUUCGUCUGGACCUUUUGGUCCCGGUUGGUGGGACGAACCGGGACCAAUGGGCCUCGCUCCUGGCCCACCACCAUUGGUCCCGAUUGAUGGCUUGAACCGGGACCAAAGGCUCCCCUUUAGUCCCGGUUCAUGCCACCAACCGGGACCAAUGAGGUGCCUAUAUAUACCCCCUCGCGCAAGAGCAGAGCACAGUGCUCUAUUUUUUCUAGCCGAGGGGGAGAGGGCUUUGUGGUGCUCUAGCUCACCUCCUAUGCACAUGAGGUGUUCGAUGGAAUGCCCGAGCCACACUACUUAAGCUUUCUCCUCUCGAAGCUCGACCUCCAAGCUCCAUUUUCCUCGAGAUUUGUCUAGAUUUAGCGGUCUGUCACGCCCCAUCCCCGUCUUCACCGCCGUCGAUCACCCGCGCUGAUCUCAUCACCGACACCACCGUGGUGAGCCUCUUGUUCUUAUCUUCUUUCUGAAAGGAAAAAUAUUCUUAAUUGUAUGUUUAGAUAGAUACUUGUAUCAUUUUCUUACAUUUAUUAUUUCAUCUUAUAUAGUGCGAUGGUUUUGGUAUCCGCCCCCGUCGGCCCUUGUCCUGUCUAUGAUUCAGAUGUGGUAUGUAUAUUAUCUUUAUAACUAUUGGUUCAUUUAUUGUUUAUGAAAAUUAUGCCGACCAACGUGACAUAGAUUUUAUUUAUCUAGGAUGUAUGUGAAUCGGAAAUGCCAACCGACCCUAUUAUCGAGAGGUUAAAUUUAGUUGAAGAAGAAAACAAUUUGUUGAAGGAAAAAAUAAAAAAAAUUGAGGAGGAGAAGAUGAUAUUGGAGUUGCAUGUUGUGGAUGUCGUCGAUGAUCACAAGAUCAAGAUGGAUGCAAUGCGCUUGAAGAUUAGAAAGAUUAGAAAAUAUGCCAUUCAUACCGAGGCUUGGUAUCAUUAUGCCGUUGGAUCAAUUGUUACCUUGGUUGCGAUUAUGAUCGCAUUUUUUCGCAUUGAAAUGUUUUACAUAGUUUCAAUGUAUGGUUUAAUUAAUUAGAUGCUCUGGAGAGCUAUAUGUUGUUAGAUGAGAACUAUGUAUGCACUUUGGUUUUAAUGUGAUGAUGAACUUCUAUUAAUUUGGACACUUAAUUAUAUAUAAUGCACGCAGAUGAACCGACAAUGGAUGUACGGUGACAGACACACCCGCGAGUACAUUAAGGGCGUGCAUGAGUUUCUCGAUGCGGCUGAGGUAAACAAGCAGAAUGGUUUUAUGUGUUGUCCAUGCACUGAAUGUGGGAAUACGAGGUCUUACUCUAACCAGAAAAUCCUUCACUCCCACCUGCUUUACAAGGGUUUCAUGCCACACUAUAAUGUUUGGACGAGGCACGGAGAAAUAGGGGUUAUGAUGGAAGACGGUGAAGAAGAAGAGUAUGAUGACAACUAUGUGUCCCCUGAAUACGGUGAUGCUGCAACGGGGGGAGCUGGUGAAGAUCAAGAGGAACCAGACGAUGUGCCCAAUGAUGCUGCCACGGGUGAAGCUGCUGAAGAUCAAGAGGAACCAGACGAUGUGCCCGAUGAUAUGAUCUCCGCCGGGUCAUUGUCGAUGCAAGGACGCAAUGCAUUAGUCAAAAGGAGAAGCUGAAGUUUGAUCACAUGUUAGAGGAUCACAAAAAAGGGUUAUACCCCAAUUGCGAAGAUGGCAACACAAAGCUCGGUACCGUACUGGAAUUGCUGCAGUGGAAGGCAGAGAAUGCUGUGGCUGACAAAGGAUUUGAGAAGCUACUGAAAAUAUUGAAGAAGAAGCUUCCAAAGGAUAACGAAUUGCCCGACAGUACAUACGCAGCAAAGAAGGUCGUAUGCCCUCUAGGAUUGGAGGUGGAGAAGAUACAUGCAUGCCCUAAUGACUGCAUCCUCUACCGCGGUGCAUACAAGGAUCUGAACGCAUGCCCAGUAUGCGGUGCAUUGCGGCGUAACAUCAGACGAGAUGACCCUGGUGAUGUUGACGGCGAGCCCCCCAGGAAGAGGGUUCCUGCGAAGGUGAUGUGGUAUGCUCCUAUAAUACCACGGUUGAAACAUCUGUUCAAAAACGAAGAGCAUGCCAAGUUGAUGCGAUGGCACAGUGAGAACCGAAAGAAAGAUGGGAAGUUGAGAGCACCCGCUGACGGGUCGCAGUGGAGAAAAAUCGAGAGAAAGUACUGGGAUGAGUUUGCAAAGGACCCAAGGAAUGUAUGGUUCGCUUUAAGCGCGGAUGGCAUUAAUCCUUUCGGGGAGCAGAGCAGCAAUCACAACACCUGGCCCGUGACUCUAUGUAUGUAUAACCUUCCUCCUUGGAUGUGCAUGAAGCGGAAGUUCAUUAUGAUGCCAGUUCUCAUCCAAGGCCCUAAGCAACCCGGCAACGACAUUGAUGUGUACCUAAGGCCAUUAGUUGAAGAACUUUUACAGCUUUGGAAUGGAAACGGUGUACGUACGUGGGAUGAGCACAGACAGGAGGAAUUUAACCUUAAGGCAUUGAUGUUCGUGACCAUCAACGAUUGGCCCGCUCUUAGUAACCUUUCAGGACAGACAAACAAAGGAUACCACGCAUGCACGCACUGUUUAGAUGACACUGAAAGUAUAUACCUGGACAAAUGCAGGAAGAAUGUGUACCUGGGCCAUCGUCGAUUUCUUCUGACCAACCAUCAAUGUCGAAAGAAAGGCAAGCAUUUCAAAGGCGAGGCAGAUCACCGGAAGAAGCCCGCCAUGCACACCGGUGAUCACGUGCUUGCUAUGGUCAAUGAUUUACACUACGUAAUCUUUAGAAAGGGUCCCGGUGGACUAGCUGUUCCGAAUGACGCUGAGGGACACGCACCCAUGUGGAAGAAGAAAUCUAUAUUUUGGGACCUACCCUACUGGAAAGACCUAGGGGUCUGCUCCUCAAUCGACGUGAUGCACGUGAUGAAGAACCUUUGCGUGAACCUGCUAGGCUUCUUGGGCGUGUAUGGGAAGACAAAAGAUACACUUGAGGCACGGGAGGACCUGCAACGUUUGCACGAAAAAGACGGCAUGCCUCCGAAGCAGUAUAAAGGUCCUACCAGCUACACUCUUACGAAAGAAGAGAAAGAAAUCUUCUUUGAAUGCCUGCUCAGUAUGAAGGUCACGACUCGCUUCUCGUCGAAUAUAAAGGGAAUAAUAAAUAUGGCAGAGAAAAAGUUUCAGAACCUAAAGUCUCAUGACUACCACGUGAUUAUGACGCAACUACUUCUGGUUGCAUUGAGGGGGCUUCUACCGGAAAACGUCCGAUUAGCCAUUGUGAAGCUAUGUGCAUUCCUCAAUGCAAUCUCUCAGAAGGUGAUCGAUCCAGAAAUAGUACCAAGGCUAAGGAGUGAUGUGGCGCAAUGUCUUGUCAGUUUCGAGCUUGUGUUCCCACCAUCCUUCUUCAAUAUCAUGACGCACAUCCUAGUUCAUCUAGUCGACGAGAUUGUCAUCCUGGGGCCCGUAUUUCUACACAAUAUGUUCCCCUUUGAGAGGUUCAUGGGAGUCCUAAAGAAAUAUGUCGGUAACUGUGCUAGGCCAGAAGGAAGCAUCUCCAUGGGCCAUCAAACAGAGGAUGUUAUUGGGUUUUGUGUUGACUUCAUUCCUGGCCUUAACAAGAUAGGUCUCCCUAAAUCGCGGUAUGAGGGGAGACUGACUGGAAAAGGCAUUCUUGGAAGAGACUCAAUAAUAUGCAGGGACGGAUAUUCUUGGUCUCAAGCACACUACACAGUUCUACAGAACUCUACCUUGGUGACCCCGUAUGUCGAUGAACACAAGAACAGUCUGCGCUCCAAACACCCGGAGCAGUGCGACGACUGGAUUACAUGUGAACACACCAGGACUUUCAGCAGUUGGUUGGAAACACGUCUCAGAGGUGACAACACUGUUUGUGAUGAGUUGUACUUGUUUUCCAGGGGACCAUCUUUGACUGUAUUGACUUACAAAGGAUACGAGAUAAAUGGGAAUACAUUUUACACGAUCGCCCAAGAUCAAAAGAUCACCAACCAAAACAGCGGUGUCCGCUUUGAUGCAGCAACCGAGAGCGGAAAGGAUACAUAUUAUGGUUACAUAGUGGACAUAUGGGAACUUGACUACGGACAAGUCCCUCUGUUUAAGUGCAAAUGGGUCAAUCUGUUAGGCGGCGGGGUACAGGUAGACCCACAGUACGGAAUGACAACAGUGGAUCUGAAAAAUCUUGGGUACACUGACGAACCGUUCGUCCUAGCCAAUGAUGUGGCACAGGUUAUCUAUGUGAAGGACAUGUCUACCAAACCGAGAAAAAGAAAAGAUAAGGAAGCGAAUACAUCAUACGAUGAGCCAAAGCGCCACAUAAUUCUUUCAGGAAAAAGGGACAUCCUGGGAGUGGACGGCAAGACAGACAUGUCUGAAGAUUAUGAAAAGUUUCAUGAAAUUCCUCCCUUCAAUGUCAAGGCUGACCCAAGCAUCCUGAUAAACAAUGAAGAUUAUCCAUGGUUACGGCGCAAUAAGCAAAUGACACAAGCGAAGAAAAAGUGAAGACUUUCUCCCGCAACUACUAUGAUGAUACCAUGCCAACUUUGUAACACACGAACAUGCUACCAUUGUCCAUUUUGUACAUGCACAUGCUAUGUGGGUAAAAUUAUGAUACCAUCCCAACUUUCAACUUUUUCAGAGUUCAUUUGAAAGUGAUUGUCCAUUUUGUACACGAAGUGCAUCAAGUUUUCUCUAUAAGCGCAUAUAUUCUCAUUUUUUUAGUAAGUUAAUCACAAAAAGUGUUUUCAAAUUUGAAAACUAAUGGCACUAACAGAAAGUUUAUAAUUUUUCUAAAACCAAUGGCACUAACAGAAAGUUUAUAAUUUUGCUAACCUAAAAGCAAACAGAAUUANNNNNNNNNNNNNNNNNNNNNNNNNNNNNNNNNNNNNNNNNNNNNNNNNNNNNNNNNNNNNNNNNNNNNNNNNNNNNNNNNNNNNNNNNNNNNNNNNNNNNNNNNNNNNNNNNNNNNNNNNNNNNNNNNNNNNNNNNNNNNNNNNNNNNNNNNNNNNNNNNNNNNNNNNNNNNNNNNNNNNNNNNNNNNNNNNNNNNNNNNNNNNNNNNNNNNNNNNNNNNNNNNNNNNNNNNNNNNNNNNNNNNNNNNNNNNNNNNNNNNNNNNNNNNNNNNNNNNNNNNNNNNNNNNNNNNNNNNNNNNNNNNNNNNNNNNNNNNNNNNNNNNNNNNNNNNNNNNNNNNNNNNNNNNNNNNNNNNNNNNNNNNNNNNNNNNNNNNNNNNNNNNNNNNNNNNNNNNNNNNNNNNNNNNNNNNNNNNNNNNNNNNNNNNNNNNNNNNNNNNNNNNNNNNNNNNNNNNNNNNNNNNNNNNNNNNNNNNNNNNNNNNNNNNNNNNNNNNNNNNNNNNNNNNNNNNNNNNNNNNNNNNNNNNNNNNNNNNNNNNNNNNNNNNNNNNNNNNNNNNNNNNNNNNNNNNNNNNNNNNNNNNNNNNNNNNNNNNNNNNNNNNNNNNNNNNNNNNNNNNNNNNNNNNNNNNNNNNNNNNNNNNNNNNNNNNNNNNNNNNNNNNNNNNNNNNNNNNNNNNNNNNNNNNNNNNNNNNNNNNNNNNNNNNNNNNNNNNNNNNNNNNNNNNNNNNNNNNNNNNNNNNNNNNNNNNNNNNNNNNNNNNNNNNNNNNNNNNNNNNNNNNNNNNNNNNNNNNNNNNNNNNNNNNNNNNNNNNNNNNNNNNNNNNNNNNNNNNNNNNNNNNNNNNNNNNNNNNNNNNNNNNNNNNNNNNNNNNNNNNNNNNNNNNNNNNNNNNNNNNNNNNNNNNNNNNNNNNNNNNNNNNNNNNNNNNNNNNNNNNNNNNNNNNNNNNNNNNNNNNNNNNNNNNNNNNNNNNNNNNNACCUAAAAGCAAAAAGAAAUCACUAAAAAACUGUAAGUAUUUAGUUUUAAGUAGAAAUAAAAAAAUAAAAAACCAAAAAAAUGUAGAAAUAAAAAAGAAAAAACCAAAAAAAUGCCACCUACUGGGCCUCCACGGCCUGAAUACGACUAUAAACCCUACAUGGGCUAGGAUUCAGGCCCGCAGAAGGCCCAAUAGGCCCACAGGCAGUAACAAGUUUAGGCCCGAAAGCCUGCAUUAGAGAGGAGAUUGAAUGGGGAGGCACACCAGCGCUUAUAAACAAGUGCCGGCGCCCUUCAGCUAGCGAUGUGGGACUAAACUUUUGGGCGCGGGCAGCACAAGUCCAUUGGUCCCGGUUGGUGGCACCAACCGGGACUAAAGGGAGCAUUGGUCACGGUUCGUGGCACCAACCGGGACCAAUGCCCCCCUUUAGUCCCGGUUCGUGCCACCAACCGGGACCAAAGGCCGCCGCUUCCCGCCCUUUGGGCUGCUGAAAAUUGGCCUUUGGUCCCGGUUCGUGGCACCAACCGGGACUAAAGGGAGCAUUAGUCCCGGGUCGUAGCAUGAACCGGGACCAUUGCUCUGGCUAUAUAAGCCAACACUUGUGAAAUUUUGGCCAACCGCCAUUCUCCUCUCCAACGCCGCCAGGCUGCUGCGCUGCUCCUCGACGCCGUCAUCGCCGUCGCCUCCCCUAGCCGCCCGAGGUCGCCGUCGCCGCCCGCUCGCCGUCGCCUGUGCCCUCGCCCGACGCCGUCAUCGACGUCGCCCUGCCCCGCCCCAUUCCUCGCCGCCGAACGCGCGCCCCCUGCCCCGUCGCCGUCCUCGCCGCCGAACCCGCACCCCUGCCCCUCCCUUGGUCCGGCCGGCGCUGCCCCUCCCCUGUUCCUUUUUUUCAUAUAUUAUAUGCUUGUUUUUUUUCAGAUUAUAUAUAUAUGUAUAUAUGUGAGUAUAUGUAUUGUGUAUGCUGCUUCUUUUCAGAUUUUUUUUCAUACAUAUGAUGAUUUGUAUUUNNNNNNNNNNNNNNNNNNNNNNNNNNNNNNNNNNNNNNNNNNNNNNNNNNNNNNNNNNNNNNNNNNNNNNNNNNNNNNNNNNNNNNNNNNNNNNNNNNNNNNNNNNNNNNNNNNNNNNNNNNNNNNNNNNNNNNNNNNNNNNNNNNNNNNNNNNNNNNNNNNNNNNNNNNNNNNNNNNNNNNNNNNNNNNNNNNNNNNNNNNNNNNNNNNNNNNNNNNNNNNNNNNNNNNNNNNNNNNNNNNNNNNNNNNNNNNNNNNNNNNNNNNNNNNNNNNNNNNNNNCUUGCUUUUUCAGAUUAUAUAUAUAUAUAUAUAUAUGUAUAUAUGUGAGUAUAUGUAUUGUGUAUGCUGCUUCUUUUCAGAUUUUUUUUCAUACAUAUGAUGAUUUGUAUUUUGCUUUUUUAUAAAAAUGUAUAUAUGUUUGUAUGUUCUCUGUGUAUAUAUGUUCAUAUAUGCAAAACAGUUAGAUUUGUAUAUUUAGAAAAGGAUUAUCUAUAUAUGUUCUCUGAUUUAGUACAUUUUAGGUUAGUUUCAUUUUUAGAAAAGUUUUAUAUAUUUAGGAGAGGAAAAGGAAAAUAAGAAGAGGAAAAAGGAGAAGAAGAGGAGAGGAAGAAAAGGAAGAGGAGAAGAAGAAAGGAAUAGAGGAGAAGAAGAAAAAAAUAGAAUUUAUUCUAUUUUUUCUUCUUCUCCUCUAUUCCUUUCUUCUUCUUCUCUUUUUUUUCUUCUUUUUUUUCUUCGAUCUUCUCCUCUAUUCCUUUCUAUAUGCAAAAGUUACAAUUUUAGAAAAGUUUUAUAUAUGCAAAAGUUACAAUUUUAGAAAAAGAAGGAUAGGAAAGAAGAAAAUAAGAAGAGGAAAGAAAGAAGAAGAGGAGAGGAAAAGAAGAGGAGAAAUAAAUAAUUANNNNNNNNNNNNNNNNNNNNNNNNNNNNNNNNNNNNNNNNNNNNNNNNNNNNNNNNNNNNNNNNNNNNNNNNNNNNNNNNNNNNNNNNNNNNNNNNNNNNNNNNNNNNNNNNNNNNNNNNNNNNUCUUCUUAAUUUUUAUCGGGAACGAGGGUGUCAAGGAUCGCCGAGGGGUCGAGGGUCGGGAACUAGGGUAGAGGGUCGAGGGUCGUUAAGGGGUCAAGGGUCGAGGGUUUCAGGGUCGAGGGUUCGAGGGUUCUAUAGGGUCGAGGGUCGAGGGUUCCAGCAGGGUCGUCUAGGUGUCGAGGGUUCCAGGGUCGUCGAGGGUUCGAGGGGUCGAGGAUCGCCGAGGGGUCGAGAGAGGUUUCCUAGUGUCAAAGAAUUGAAGAAAUCCAUGCCUUCAUCAUUAGCCGGAAGUAACCAGGGCAUGUUGGUACGAAGUUCUGCAAAGUUGUUCUGGAAUGGAGUCCCGGAUAGAAUAAUCCGCCUUUUGGUACGAAUUCAGCAAAGGCCUUCCAAAUAGAGAUAUUCGGAAGGCUCUUGCUGAACUUUGUACCAAAAAGCGAAUUAUCCUAUCUAGGACUCCGUUCCAGAACAACUUUGAAGAGCUUCGUACCAUCAUGCACAUGUUACUUUCGCCUAAUGAUGAAGACAUGGUUUUGUUGAAUCCUUUGACACUAGGAAACCUCCCGACCCCUCGGCGAUCCUCUCGAACAUGAGAGGAAGAAGAGGGUCGUCUAGGGGUCGAGGGUUCCAGGGUCGUCGAGGGUUCGAGGGGUCGAGGAUCGCCGAGGGGUCGAGAGAGGUUUCCUAGUGUCAAAGUAUUGAAGAAAUCCAUGCCUUCAUCAUUAGCCGGAAGUAACCAGGGCAUGUUGGUAAGAAGUUCUGCAAAGUUGUUCUGGAAUGGAGUCCCGGAUAGAAUAAUCCGCCUUUUGGUACGAAUUCAGCAAAGGCCUUCCAAAUAGCGAUAUUCGGAAGGCUCUUUCUGAACUUUGUACCAAAAAGCGAAUUAUCCUAUCUGGGACUCCGUUCCAGAACAACUUUGAAGAGCUUCGUACCAUCAUGCACAUGUUACUUUCGCCUAAUGAUGAAGACAUGGUUUUGUUGAAUCCUUUGACACUAGGCAACCUCCCGACCCCUCGGCGAUCCUCUCGAACAUGAGAGGAAGAAGAUGAUAAAAAAAGAAGAGGAAGAAGAAAAAAAAGAGGAGCAGAAAGAAUAGAGGAGUUCUUCUCCUCUAUUCUUUCUUCUCCUCUUUUUUUUCUUCUUCUUCCUCUUUUUUUAUCGGGAACGAGGGUCGUUGAGGGACAUGGAUGUAGUGUCGUCGUUGUCGAUAUAUACCCCCUCCCGAUAGCUUACUAUGAUUAGGUAGCUAGUUCUACGUUUGGCACUAAUAUAUCCAUCUGUCAUGUUUGAAUAAUAAUUGCCAUGUUGUAAAUAUUUGUAGAAACUAUGGACACCGCCCUAGACGAAGCAAAAGAAGCGUUGUUGAGGGACAUAAUCACAGAAGGAAGUGAUGCCAUCUCAUUGUUUCUCCACGAAACCGAUGGUCUGGAAGGAGAGGGUGAACAAGCUGGCUACGGUGACCUAAUGCCGGUGCAAGAACAAGAACAUGAGGACGGCUCCGGUGACCCAAUGCCGGUGUAAGAAGGAGACCGUGAUGACGGCUCCGGUGACCGAACCGAGUCCGGCCAGGUAUAUAUAUUAGUUAAGCCUAUGCUGACUAGCUGAUUGAUGCAUUCAUUGUUUUGGUAUGUACACAUAUUAAUUAAGUCUUUGUUCUUUUUUCUAGCCUUCCGGAUCGAGCACAACUUCGGUAAAGAGACGAGGCCCGAAGAAAAAGUUGAGCUCGGAUGAAAAGUUUGAGAUCAUAGCAAUCGCGCCCGACAGCCAACCUAUUGAACCCCUCAGGACAAAGAGCGCAUUUGUUGCUCAGUGCGGGGUUCUGGUUAGGGACAAGAUCCCGAUAAGCAUCCAGCAAUGGUUUAAGCCGGCUACAAAAGACCCUGAGGUGUCUUAUGUCAAUGAUAUGCAGAAAAAUGAUCUUUGGACUGAGCUGAAGUCAAAUUUCACCCUACCGCCAGAGGAUAAUCCAGAGAACCCAGUUAAAGAGAAAUUAAUCAAGUCUUUUGCUCUGAAGAGGAUGGCAGAACUAUUCAGGAGGUGGAAGAAAGAGCUGAAUAAGUUUGUCGAAAAUAAUGAGACACCAGAAUUCAAGGGAAGAUAUGAGAAGAUCAGAGAUCAUUGGCCCGCAUUUGUGGCCCACAAGACAUCGGAAAAGAGUAAGAAGAUGUCGGCGACAAACAAGCAAAUUGCUGCGAAGAAGAAGCUUCACCAUCGCACGGGGUCAGGUGGCUACCUCGUAGCCCGGCCUAAGUGGUCCAAGACUGAGAAUGAUCUGGUUCAUAAAGGGAUCGAACCAGAGACAAUUAACUGGCCAGACCGUUGCCGGACUUGGUUCUUUGGGGCUGGCAGAACCUUGGACCCUGUAACAGGGAAGUGCAUUUGGACGAACAAUCAAAUGGACAUACCAGUCAGUAAGCUUAAGAAGUAUAUCGAAGCAGCGCAGGAAGGGACGUUCUUUCCAGACAGAGAGAACGACGAGCUCACAAUGGCCCUCGGGAAUCCUGAGCACCCUGGACGGACACGAGGCACGGCAGGCUCCAUUCCAUGGAAGGUUGGGUUUCCGGACGCAGGCGGUUACAAAUCCCAUGAGAGGAGGAAAAAAGUGCAGCAGACCCAAAUGCAGGCGCUGCAAGCAAGGGUAGACGCGAUAGAGGAACGAGAAGCAAAUCGCAGCAAACGUACUGCCGAAGCCUCCCCCGAAGCUACCCCGCCAUCUCAGCGCAGAAGCAGCAUGGCUUCCACCGAGCUGCUUCAGCCGGAGCAUGCCUUGACGGCUCCUGCCAGCUAUCCCGUGGAUGCUAUCACGGAGUCUCAAAAUUGCCACCUUAUGACGCAAUGGAUGAAUUUGAAGGUCAAGGCGGCUGUUGGCUCUGUUUAUCCUACUAAACCCGGCGCAACUUUUCACUGCCGGCCGAUUCCAGAAGGAUAUGCUAGGGUGAUGGUGGAUGAAAUAACGGAGGGAUUUGAGGACCUCCAGCUUGACCACCCUACCGGUGAAGGGGAGACUCGGCUGGGGUCUGCUCUGAAGACUCCAUGCCUAUGGCGGAAGGAGCUCAUCAACCUUCCGAACUGGAUGCCUCCGCCUCCUCCUCCUCCUCCGGCGAGUCAGGGCACUCCGCCUCCUCCACCGCCUCCUCCUCCGGCGAGUGACGAUCUGGGCCCUCGGCCGGCUCCUUCUCCGGCGCGUGGCGGCACUCCGCCUCCUUCUCCGCCUGCGCCGACGCGCCCGAGCAGCCAGCCUCCUCCUUCUCCGCCUCGUCAGCAACGGCGGAAGAGACAUGCCGCCGCUCCAGCUACUCCGGCGCGUCGUAGUCCUUCUCCUCCGCCUCGUAAGCAAGUAAAGAAGACAACCGCUCUGUCUGCUCGGUCGGCGUCUAGCAGUACAACCAGAGGCGGGAGGACAUACAGAUUCGGUCCUUCUCUGAAGACUCCAGAGAAGUUACCAUAUGAGAGGACCCCGGAGGAGAACGCCAAGAUCGCGCGAACCGAAGUGGAUGACUGGUUUCAAGGGUUGAGAGCAAAGAGACAUCCACCUCUGGAGGAGAAGGUAGAUCCGGUGAAAGUGAAGCGCACUCUGGCUGCCCUGGCAAAACCACCCAAGUCUUCGCCGAAAGGCAACUAUGAGCGCAUUAUUGCAAAGACAUGGGCCGAAGCGGAGCGGUCGGGAAGUACAGUCAGUGAUCAAAGGCUGAAAGAACGACGAGCAGCUGGGAAACAAAUUGCCCAGCUCGGCGAACAAGCGAAGCAAUCGUGCCCCCCCCCUCAAGGUGCCUAGCGACAUCGUCGAUCUGAGGAUGGUGCCCGGUUAUGGCAAUGUUGACGAUUACCUGCCCGACGAUGUACAUUAUGAUCCCAUGGAGGUGCAGAUACACAGAUACGAGUACGGGAAGCCUCUCGUCAAAGAUGAAAAAUCUUUAACAACGAUGAUGCGAAGAUUACAUGAUUGGUACUUGAAAAUCUGCAGAGAGUCUGGGGGAGGAGUACUUUGUAUGCGAGAGUUAAGCCGGAGCAUGACCUCGUUGGAAUUGAACUGUUGCCUAUUCCAUUUGAAGAGUUCUAUCAGUUUUUCAAUUAAUUGGCCCUUGAUAAAACAACGAUCACCUGCUACUGUCUGUAAGUACUACUACUUCUGUCAUUAAGUCUCUUUAUAUAGCUCAUCUCUUUCAUUGCAUGUAUUUAUAAUUAUCCUCACUAUAUUAUGCAGAAUGAAGAUCGCCGAAUUGAAGAAAAGACAAAUCGGUGAUAUUGGGUUCAUUAACACAUAUCUCAUAGAUGCAACUGAGGUUCAACAUCGUCCCGGAGAUACCGAGGCCAACUUGCUACGAUCAUUCAAAAAAAUGAAAACAAAGAUAUAAUACUCUUUUCUUACAACUUCAAGUGAGUGUUACUGUCUUGUGCAUAUUCGGUUUCCCUUAUAUAUUAGUCCAGGUUAUAGUAAUGUAAUUGAUGAGUUAUGCAUGCGUGUUCAGUUUCCACUAUAUUCUCCUAGAGAUUAGGCUUGAGCAGGGAGUAGUAACCGUCUUGGACUCUAAACGAAAAGAUCCCCAGGAUUAUGCGGACAUGACUGAAAUCCUCAAGAAGUAAGUUAAAUUGAUCAUUAUCCACCAUAUCAGCAACUUUGUUCAUUUCCUGAUAUCAAGUAAUUGUUUUCUUUGUCCGGCAGGGUUUGGAGAAAAUUCACCAGAACAGUUCCGGGACUGCCGAAGGAGCUGGAAUUUAGACACCCAAAAGUAAGUACUAUAGUAGCAUGUUCCGCGCAUCUCCUAGUGAUUCAAGCGCUAGUUUCAUCAAUACCAUUUAGCAUUCUUGCUUAUCAGUUUGAUUGACCUCUAUUUCUUGUAAAGUGGUUGUGGCAGGAAAAAGGGAAUGAUUUCUGUGGAUACUACGUCUGCGAGUCCAUCCGCCACACGACCUGUGAGCGGGGCGGGUACUCUGACGAACAAUAUGAAGUACGUAAAUAACAACAUUCACAAUUUUAUUUUAUUACCAUCAUUUGUAUUGAGUUUCAUUCAUUCAUAUAUAUAUGUAUUGACCCCCUUCUUCAAAUUAGAUGUUUCGGAAGCGGGAUGAACUCCUAGCACCAGCUCGCAUGCGAGCAAUUCAAGAGGAAUUGGCGGCAUUCUUUCUUGACCAAGUGAUCGCUGAAGACGAAGACUACUAUGUGGACCAUGAGUCCGUAUGAUUAUAUUUGUAAGAGAUAAUUAUUGUAUAUAUGUACCCGAUAGUGUCGGAUAGAUAUACGAGAACUUGUUGUUCGACCAAUCUCUCGGAGAAGGCGAGGUGGUCGAUAUCACUUCUCUCUGUAUACAUAUAUGUUCAUGACGAUCUUCUGUUUCCUUCGUUUGCUUACUAGCUAACUAGCGUGUCUAGUCCUCUCUAUACGUAUGUAUAGUACGUAGCGUCGACCAAGUACGGACGUAAGAGAGGACACUUCUCUCUAUUAAUUAUAGCUAGCUAACACAAUAUAUGAAACACCUAAAUUAACNNNNNNNNNNNNNNNNNNNNNNNNNNNNNNNNNNNNNNNNNNNNNNNNNNNNNNNNNNNNNNNNNNNNNNNNNNNNNNNNNNNNNNNNNNNNNNNNNNNNNNNNNNNNNNNNNNNNNNNNNNNNNNNNNNNNNNNNNNNNNNNNNNNNNNNNNNNNNNNNNNNNNNNNNNNNNNNNNNNNNNNNNNNNNNNNNNNNNNNNNNNNNNNNNNNNNNNNNNNNNNNNNNNNNNNNNNNNNNNNNNNNNNNNNNNNNNNNNNNNNNNNNNNNNNNNNNNNNNNNNNNNNNNNNNNNNNNNNNNNNNNNNNNNNNNNNNNNNNNNNNNNNNNNNNNNNNNNNNNNNNNNNNNNNNNNNNNNNNNNNNNNNNNNNNNNNNNNNNNNNNNNNNNNNNNNNNNNNNNNNNNNNNNNNNNNNNNNNNNNNNNNNNNNNNNNNNNNNNNNNNNNNNNNNNNNNNNNNNNNNNNNNNNNNNNNNNNNNNNNNNNNNNNNNNNNNNNNNNNNNNNNNNNNNNNNNNNNNNNNNNNNNNNNNNNNNNNNNNNNNNNNNNNNNNNNNNNNNNNNNNNNNNNNNNNNNNNNNNNAACCGGGACUAAAGGCCCUUACGAACUGGGACUAUAGGCCCUUUUUCUACCAGUGCCCCCUUUAAAAAAAAAACAAAAACCCCAGCCACAGAAAUGCUGACGCGUGGAUGCCUAUUGGUCCCGGUUGGUGCCACCAACCGGGACCAAAGGCCCUCCUUCCUGGGCUCGGCGCACAGGCCACGUGGAGCCCCAUGUGUCCCGGUUCUGGACUGAACCGGGACUAAAGGGCCAGGGCAUUAGUAACGACCCUUUAGUCCCGGUUCAGAAACCGGGACAAAAGGCCCUUACCAACCGGGGCUAAUGGGUCGUUUUCUACUAGUGUAGCAACUUGGCGCAUCAAGAGAAAAUUGUCAUGCAAGCUUCAUUUUUUGAUAAAUGCAGACAGAUUGAGGGCCAGUAAGUUCUUCAUGUGCCUCACUCUGAUCACCGGCGACUUGGCAAACAGUUUGGACAUGCUAUGUGGCAAGCUGAUGGGUCGGAAGUCGCCCACGUUCUCCGCAUCCACUUUCUUUCUUUUAUUGAGGGGUUAAACCAAGCUUUAUUGAUCAAAGUUCACAUGUUGUGAAAUACAAAAUGGGUCAUAAGGCUCAACAAACCAUAUAUGUCGACCCUAAUCCAAGGAGUGUGAAAACUUGGCUAACCUAUAUAUCGGCAUCACCAUUAGUAGCUCUGCCUUCAAACUUAAAAAAAGGUUCAACAAAGAGCUCUUUGUUUAAUCUCGGAAAUAAUAGCACCUGAGCCACCUUGGUUAAAACAUGAGAUGUCGUUGAUAGCUUGCUUGGAAUCUGAUGUGAUGACAAUGUUCUGUAGCAUUAGAUCUUCAGCCAAAGCCAGACCCCCUCGGCAAGCUAUAGUCUCGAGCGUCGCAACAUCUGUAAUGCCCAUAAUCACCAAGGUAGAAUUUCCCAAGAAAUUCCAGGCAUCAUCUCUGCAAACUGCGGCUGCAGCCGCCCUUGCACAAUCAGGGCGCGAUUGGGCCAGUGAAGAUUUAGUUCAAGCUUGACUGGCGCCAUACAUAAAUAAAAGGGCUCGAUUUUUUUUAAUUUUUUUUGAGAAUCAAAAGGACUCGAUAAGGACUGCUCUCCGAUUCGAACCCUGCCGAAAGCCCUGGCAACCAAUAUACGUUUGGCAAAUUUGCUUUUUUUUUCUCUUUGGUCACGUACGUACUCCUGGCAGCGUAGAUAUUCUACUAUACUCCUUCCUAUACACCCCGCAAAAAAAAUACUCCUUCCUAUACUAUCUACUCGUAUAUAAUUAGGCAAGGGAGUCCGGGUCGUGUUGGAGUUGGAACACUGGCCGGAGUCGGUCGGUCUAUCUAUGAUCUAUAUCUAUCCUAUAUAAACAAGGAGAGGACCUGCAGGAGCGCAGCAUCAAUCAAAUCAAACCAUACAAGUCGGCCAUCAAUGGCGCCGUGGUCUGAACUCCCAGAGGACCUCCUAGCCCAGGUCUUUGCGCGCAUCUUUUUCCCUGCCCAUCGUGCUUACUUUCAGGCCGUGUGCCGUUCUUGGCGCUCUGCAGCGCGGCCCCCUGCGCGGUAGCUUCCGUGGAUCGUGUUCCCGCAUGGUGGGGUCAUGAUCCCCUUUAACCGUGCUAUGCACCGUGCCGUCUCCUACCCCAAAGCCAUAACGAGCUGCAUUGGUAUGUCUCCCGCCGACCGUGCUCUGCACCAGUUUUUCUCCUUGCCCAAGACGAUGACUUGCUUUGGCUCUACCGAUGGUUGGAUCGCCAUCGACGACCGUGUGGGCAAGAUGCAUAGGAACUACUUGUUGCACAACAGUGUUUUCUGGCACGACAUUGUGUCUCCCCGAGUUGGACGCUGCCAUCAGCCAUGUUUCCAAGCUUUUCAACAUAUGCAAGGUGCUGUUGCGGUCCACCCCGGAUGACGUCAUUGCUCUCAUGACCAACCAUUGCAGUUGCCCCAUCAUCUUAACCCGGAUUGGGAAGGGUGUGUGGUUGCCCAAGUCUUAUGCAGCUUCCCUCGUCAGCAUCAUCGAUGUUGCUUUUCUUGGAGACAGACUUUACGGGGUCACCAAGGAUGAGGAUCUCGUCUUCCUUGACAUGGCCUUCAAUGAUAGCGGCGUACCCAUGGUUACCGGUGGCAAGUGUGUCAUCGGAGAAGGUUUUGACUAUGAUGAUUAUGGCGACCAUGACACAAAGUAUGAUGACUUGACCAAGAUGACCAAGAAGGAUAUGGUUCCUCAAGAAUACCAAUAUAUUGUUGUUGACAAGUCCAUGAAGAAUGACAUUGAAACCAUGUGGUACCUGAUCGAGUCGCGUGGGAAGAUGCUCAUGGUGAGGCGACAAGUGGUAUCGCCUUCUGAGUUCACUCACAAGGUAGAGGUUUUCGAGGCCGAUAUGAGUGCAGCCAUGUGGGUGCCAGUGGAGCGGGGCUAGAAGACCAGGCGCUUUUCAUCAGCAGACGGUUCAGCAAGUCUGUCUCUGCUGCUUUCAGCAGGGAGAUACAAAAAGAUGCUAUUUAUUUUGCUGACACAGAAGAUGUAUUCGACAUGAGGUCCCAAACAGUGAUUGCCGGCCAAGGGGAUGAUUUCGAUGACUACAACACAUACCUAAUGUUAGACUAUGUAUAACUUCUGUACCUAUGUACGUAUUGUAACACAACCAUUAUAUAUAAUGAGAUAAGCCACCCCUAGAGGGUUGUGCUGGUUCCCAAAACUUAUUGUCUUACAUGGUAUCACGCUAGGUUACGAUCGCUUCCGCUUCUAAACCCUAAUACCCGCACCGCCGCCGCAGCCGCCGCCGCCUUCACCGCCGCCGCCGCGCCACCGAUCGCGCCGCCGCCAUGUCGAGCGCCGCCACCACCGGUUCCACUGCUGCGGGCUUCCUCCCGGCCUCUCUUGCGGCUCUGCUCAACCUCCCGCUCGAUGCCGUCUCCGUUCCGGCUCCGAUCGGGACAAGGAGCAUCAGCUCCGUCUUCUCCACGCCGCCGGCGCCCUCGCUCGGGCGUGACCUCGUGGUCCACACCGCGGCGCUGCCGUCCGCUGCGGAUUCCGCAGGCGUCGUCCCGCCGCUCCUGCCGCGAGCGGAUCACACCGCCCCGCUGGCGGGGUUGGCGGCGUCCGCCCCGGCCGCGGGCCUUGCGGCGUCCGCACCGGCCGCGAGCUUUGCGGCGCCCGCCCUGGCUGCGGUCCCGCCUCCUCCCGCAUCGGCUUCGGUGCCUCCGGCUGCCUCCAUGGUGUUUGCACCCCAGGCAGCCUCCUCGAUGGGAUCGUCUUCGCCGCCGCCGUUUCACUUCGGUCAUCUCAUCACCAUCAAGCUCUCCGCAGACAACUACAUCUUCUGGCGUGCCCAGGUUCUCCCGCUUUUGGGGAGUCACUACCUGCUAGGCUACGUCGACGGAUCGCUUCCCUGCCCACCCGCGCUGGUAGACAGCGUGCACGGUCCGGUCUACAAUCCGGCCCAUCGCGUCUGGACGGGGCAGGACCAGGCGAACCUCUCCUCCAUCCAGGGGUCACUCUCGCCAGCAGUUGCCGGCCUUGUUGUCUUCGCGAAGACGUCUAAUGAGGCCUGGACCAUCCUUGAGCGCACCUUUGCAGUGCAGUCCCAGGCUCGUGUCUCUGUACUCCGUCGUCAGCUUGGAGAGUGUCAGAAGCUUGACUCCACGGCCACUGAGUUCUACAACAAGGUCAAGGGCCUUGCCGACACAUUGGCCUCCAUUGGACAGCCCCUCACCGACUCCGAGUUCAACUCGUUUAUUGUCAAUGGUCUUGAUGAGGAGUAUGAUGCCUUAGUCGAGAUCAUCAACGAGCGGGGUAACUCGACACCCAUGUUGGCACACGAGGUUUUCUCUCGGCUUCUUCUCACUGAGCAACGGGUCGAGACUCGCCGCACCAGGGGCACUGGCUCUCUCUCGGCCAACGUCGCCACCAAGGGUGGCCGCUCUUCUUCAUCACCCCGGUCUCCCUUGGGGCUGCCACCGUCGCCCGCCUCGGCCCCCCCACCUACUGCGACCUUACCGGGGGCUGGCGGUCCACGUGUGUGUCAGCUUUGUGGCCGCGAUGGGCACUGGGCCUCCAAGUGUCAUAAGCGCUUCUAGCGAAGCUUCCUUGGUCUUGGCAAUGACGGCAAAGAUACACGGAACAAUGCCCGUCAGGUCGCCAUGGCUGAUCGUCCCGCGCCGCAGAAGCACCAGGGACACACUCAGUCCUACUGCAUCGAUCCACACUGGUACAUGGACUCUGGGGCGACAGAGCAUCUGACCAGCGAGCUGGGGAAGCUUCACACUCGUGAACCCUAUCAUGGCUCCGACAAGAUCCACACCGCCAAUGGAGCAGGUAUGCACAUCUCUCAUAUUGGUCAAGCAUCUCUUCUCACUAGACAUGCCAAUAGGAGUCUUCAGCUUCGCAAUGUUCUUCGCGUUCCAUCUGUGACCCGCAAUCUUCUUUCAGUUCCUAAACUCACACAUGAUAAUAAUGUGCUUUGUGAAUUUCACCCUUUUGAUCUUUUUAUUAAGGAUCGGGGCACGAGGGACAUUCUUCUUAGUGGGCGGUUGUGCCAGGGCCUCUACCGUCUGGAGCAUCCUGGUGUCGCUCGCGUUUUCAGUGGAGUUCGGGUAUCUCCGUCACAGUGGCAUGCUCGUCUUGGUCACCCGGCCACACCUAUUGUCCGUCAUAUUUUGCGUCGUCAUGAGCUUCCUAGUUUGUCUAGUAAUAAAUAUGUAGCAGUGUGUGAUGCUUGUCAGCAGGGGAAGAGUCAUCAACUUCCUUUUUCGGAGUCCAGUCGUGAGGUGAAACAUCCGUUAGAACUUGUGUUUUCAGAUGUAUGGGGUCCUGCUCAGACUUCUGUCAGUGGUCAUAAUUACUAUAUCAGUUUCGUUGAUGCUUAUAGUCGCUUUACCUGGCUUUACCUUAUUAAACGCAAAUCUGAUGUGUUUGAUAUUUUUGUUCAGUUUCAAAAACAUGUUGAACGUCUUCUCAAGCACAAAAUUGUUCAUGUCCAGUCGGACUGGGGGGGGGCGAGUAUCGCAACCUCAACUCCUUCUUUCAGUCGCUCGGGAUAGCUCAUCGUUUAGCAUGUCCACAUACACAUCAGCAGAAUGGUUCAGUCGAACGUAAGCAUCGUCAUAUUGUUGAAGCUGGUCUUACUCUUUUGGCCCAUGCAUCUGUUCCGUUUCGGUUUUGGAGUGAUGCUUUCACCACUGCAUGCUUUCUCAUCAAUCGUACUCCUACUCGUGUUUUAAACAUGAAGACUCCCAUUGAGGUUCUCCUUAAUGAACAACCUGAUUAUACCUUUCUCAAGGUAUUUGGGUGUGCUUGCUGGCCGCAUCUUCGUCCAUAUAACAAGCGCAAGCUUGAGUUUCGUUCUAAGAAGUGUGUUUUCCUUGGCUAUAGCUCUCUUCAUAAAGGUUACAAAUGUCUUCAUGUUCCCACUAAUCGUGUCUAUAUAUCUCGGGACGUCGUGUUUGAUGAGCAUGUUUUUCCCUUUGCCAACCUUCCUGUGUCCACUGUCGAACCACCAUCCCUGCAUUCAUCCUCUGUUGCUUCUGACCAAUUUGAUGAUGUUGCAUACUCUCCUUUGCUGUUACCUAACCAUGGUGCAGGAACCGGACGUGGAGCUCGUUUGGAGCUGUUGGAGGAUUCACCAUCAUCAUCGUCGUCUUCUGGUGGGCAUGUCGAUCGCCCUCUGUUGCAUGGCAUCAAUUCGCGUGCCCAUGCAUGGUCACCCGAGAGCCCGUCGCGCCGAGCAUCUCCACUGUUCGGUCUGCUACGCCAGUGAUCGCCGAGUCUCCAGCGGCUCGGCCUUUUUCGCCAGCGGCCGCCGAGUCGCCCGUGUCUCGGCCCGUCACGCCGUCUUCGCCCGCGGCUCGGGUCCUCACGUCGCCUUCAUCAGCGGAUCGGCCCGCGACACCGGCCGCGCCACGGCCCACUAUGUCGAGCUCGCCAUCGGCCCAGUCUGGGAUGCCGGAGUCGCCAGCUGCUUCGUCUGCUCUGCCGGUUUCGCCGGUGGGCCGGCCUUCUUCGCCGACUGAGUCCGAGGCUACCGUGCCUGGCUCCUCGUCACCGGCUGACUCGUCAACGUCGCCGUCCUCCAGCCCGUUGCAGGCUGCUCCGUCGACCUCGGUGGUUCCUGUGUCUCGACCACAUACACGCAGUCGCAGUGGCAUUUUCAAACCUAAGGAACGUACGGAUGGUACGGUUGCUUGGUUGGCUGCUUGUUUGGCUGCUGCUGUUGCGGAUCCAUCUUCUGAGCCUCGCUCAUAUCAGGCUGCCCUGCGCAUUCCACAUUGGCGAGAGGCUAUGGAGCAGGAGUUUCAUGCUCUCCUUCGUAACAAGACAUGGACUCUCGUUCCUCCACCACCACGGGUAAAUGUUAUUGACUCAAAAUGGGUAUUUAAAGUGAAGAAGCAUUCGGAUGGAUCUAUUGAGCGUUACAAAGCGCGACUUGUUGCUCGCGGUUUUCGGCAGCGUCAUGGCCUUGACUAUGAGGACACCUUCAGUCCUGUCGUCAAGCCUACCACUAUUCGGCUUCUUCUCUCCAUUGCUGUUUCUCGUGGUUGGUCCCUUCGUCAACUUGAUGUGCAGAAUGCUUUUCUACAUGGAUUUUUGGAGGAAGAGGUUUAUAUGAAACAGCCGCCUGGUUUCUCUGAUCCUGAUCGUCCUGACUAUAUCUGUCGUCUUUCCAAAGCACUAUAUGGUUUGAAGCAAGCUCCUCGUGCCUGGCAUGCCCGCCUUGCCUCUGCCCUUCGUGCUCAUGGGUUUGUGCCGUCCACUGCUGACACUUCAUUAUUUCUUCUACAGAAGCCAGAAGUCACUAUGUAUCUUUUGGUAUAUGUCGAUGAUAUUAUCCUUGUCAGCUCUUCUCAGUAUGCUGCUGAUGCUCUUGUCUGCUCUCUUGGUGCUGAUUUUGCGGUCAAAGAUCUUGGGAAGCUUCACUACUUUCUUGGAGUUGAGGUCACUUCUCGUGCUACUGGUCUUGUCCUUACGCAGAAGAAGUACUCCUUGGAGUGUUACAAAAAGCCGGCAUGCUGAAGUGCAAACCGACCACCACACCCAUGUCGUCUACCGACAAGAUAACAGCUGUUGAUGGUGAGCUUUUGUCUCCUGCGGAUGCCACAGAGUACAGAAGCAUUGUUGGUGGACUUCAGUACUUGACGAUCACGAGACCAGAUAUCUCUUAUGCUGUUAACAGGGUUUGUCAGUAUCUUCAGGCUCCCAGAGAUACUCAUUGGGCUGCUGUUAAACGCAUUCUUCGUUAUGUUCAGUUCACCCUGACUUUUGGUAUGCAUAUUCGGCCGACUUCCUCUCGGGUCCUUUCGGCCUUCUCUGAUGCAGAUUGGGCUGGUAGCCCAGAUGACAGGCGAUCCACGGGGGGUUAUGCAGUAUUCUUUGGCUCUAAUUUGAUCGCCUGGAGUGCUCGGAAACAGGCUACUGUGUCACGUAGCAGUACUGAAGCUGAGUACAAGGCUGUGGCUAAUGCUACUGCAGAGAUUAUUUGGGUGCAGUCUUUGCUUCAGGAGUUGGGUUUGUCUCAACCACAGCCUCCUAUUCUUUGGUGUGAUAACAUCGGUGCUACAUACCUUUCUGCAAAUCCAGUAUUUCAUGCCCGAACGAAACACAUUGAAGUUGACUAUCACUUUGUACGGAAACGUGUAUCACAGAAGCAACUUCAGAUCAAGUUUAUCUCGUCUAAGGAUCAACUUGCAGAUAUCUUCACUAAGCCUUUACCACUGCCACAGUUUGAGGCUUGUAGGCGCAAUCUUACCCUUCUCAGUUCUUUAGAAAGUGGCUAAGAUUGAGGGAGGGUGUUAGACUAUGUAUAACUUCUGUACCUAUGUACGUAUUGUAACACAACCAUUAUAUAUAAUGAGAUAAGCCACCCCUAGAGGGUUGUGCUGGUUCCCAAAACUUAUUGUCUUACACCUAAGGUUAUCCAAGUCGAGGGAGCUAACGUGGGUCUUUCCUCCGGAGCUAGUAGCUUAAUUAGUUAUUAUUACUCCCUUGUUACAUUUUCUUUUUGUCGUUAAUAAUUGUACGAUCGAUUAGCGCGACUGCAUGCAUGCAAUAAAAUGUGUUGACAUUUGCUGGGAAAAAUAUGUAUAUGUAUGAACAGAGUGGUUGUACGAUUACAUCGGGUCACACUAAUCAAUCACAUCACAUCACAGAUCCUUCCACAACGAAGCAGCUAGUUCUUCCUUUCUCGCCAAACAAGUCCUGCUAAUCAGAAGCUAGCCGAUAUGUUGGUAGCAGCGCUUGUUGUCAGUUACACUUAAAAUCAUCAGACAGUCUUGAAUAUUUUGGUCGAGAAAUUUGCCUUCGGGCAAUAUGUUUUUUCACGCCCUCUGGUUGCGACUGCCGACGAGACCUCCUCGCUGGCGCCUUCAGCACCCGCUCGCUUUCCUGGCGUUCACGCGCCCCCUAGUGGGCUGUGGCCCAUUCGCUUGAUCGGUCCUCGCUCGACCUGCUGCUGCUCGCUCGCUCGAUCGGUGCUCGCUCGUUUAGUACCUUUUUUUCUUCUUCUUGAGAGCACUUGUCAAAAGAGCCUUGUUGUUUAAAAAGGAAAAAAAGAGAGCAAUAAAUCGAAAUAAACCGUGAAUUAAAACAUGGACAUGAAUUUUCAUAAAAGUUCACCAAAAUUGAAAAACAUUUCAUCGAAUUUGAAAACUAGUUCAUCGGUUUUGAAACAAAGUUCAUCGACUUUGAAAAACUUCAUCAAAUUUGAAAAACAAAUUCAUCGGAUUUGAAAAAGUUCAUCUAACUUGUAAAAAAGUUCAUUGAACUUGAAAAAAGUUCAUCGAAUUAGAAAAAAAAAA